CUUCUCCCUCCGCGGGGCGCUUCUCCCCGGUCCUCUUGGCCUCGUGUUGGUGUUCGCAGUGAGGCGGCGUGGGUGACGGCGCAACCGCGAUGGCGCAUGGUGGUGGGCGGCGAUCUGGCUGGUCGGCUCCGGUCCGUGGGGCGGUGGGGAUUGGAGUACGGGAGAAAUCCUUGCCGGUCUUCGGCCCCGAUGCGGUGACACUUGCGGGUGCCACCAUUCCUUCCUGGAGGGUGUCGGUGAUAUCCAUCCCCACCUCCUUCCGCGUGCCGGGGAAACCCUAGGACAUGUCCGGGCAGCAGCGUCGUCGGCGUCGCUUUCCUUCUUGGAGGUGUUGUUUUGUACGCGGUGGUCCGGAGCCUCGGGUUGUAGUGGUUUGUGUCUGGUGGGCAUAGCGGUGGCGGGUCAUCCGCGCUCUGUCGAGCUGACGUUGUUGGCAUUUGCUUCUUCUUCUUUUUCUUUUGGGCUUAUUGUGCUGUUCGCCCCAGCGUUCCUGUAUCGGUGUUGGUUGCUUUGGAAUACAAAGCGGGGGGAAAUCCUUUUUCGGUAACGAACUUGUCCAAGGUUUUCCUGUGGUACUUGAAGGCCAUGAAGUUGUACUCAUAGAUCGCCAUAGGGUCGCCCUCCAAGAUGAUCUUUUCACUGAGUUCGAUGAAAAGGUCGAGCUGGUCAUGCAUGAUGAGGCUCUGCGCAGCGAGAGUGACCUCCAGGAAGAACUCCGCAGGCGCAGCUGCAGGGUCAUCAGUGUGCGGAAGAGAUCAUUUCCAUGGAGGCCGGCAAGUUUGCCAGCAGCGGAGACGCAGCGGCGGCUACCUUUAUGGUGGCCUUUAGGGCGGCACGUGGCUUGGAGGCGAGCGGUGAGGUUGUCCACUGUCCUUGUGAAGUCGUCAAGUGUGUCAACCAUGCCAAGCAAGUUGUCCAACGCCACUUUGAGCCAGUCGGCGAAGGUGGCGUCCGAGACGCAACGCGCCGCUGCACCGUCCAGCACCCGCCUGAGGCGUCCCGGAGCGCCAGGCUGCGCAGGGAGCCGCUGGCCACCUGGAGAAGACGAUCGGUGCUCGCAAAAAUCGACUCCAUGUCCAUGGCCGGCCACACUAUCGACUUGAGCGGAUCUUCCACACUAGGUCUUGCUGCCAAGGGAGGAGUAGAUAUAGAGGGGUUAGCAAUCACACACGGUUCUCCAUUUAACAAACAUCAACGUAGAAAUGAUGAUUCAGAGGAAAAAGCAUGGCUAUUUCAGGCAUGAAUUUACAGAAAGAGGCCAAAGUUACAACUUGAUAGAAGCUACUAGUUCAGGUUGUUAAAAUUAUGGCGUCAAAAGGAUGGCUAAUAGCCAACUCCCAAAGCUGUCCGCUGCUGAUUCAGAUUGGAAAAUUAACCAAGAUGAUAAGUGUCAAAUCCGGUGCUGACUUUUUUACAACUAAAGUUGCCAUCCGAAAACUAUGAAGAAGAAAUCAAUGAUUGAUAGGUUCCACUAUGAAGUAUGAUCUAGCAUGAACAUUAAAUUGAAGUAGUAAUAAAGAAGAAAUUUCUGCACAAGAAUAGAACAAGCAAAUCACAUCUGGGAUUAGGGUUCAAGGGGGAUGGGGGCGGAGGGGAUUUCCGGCGGUGAGUGGCGGAGUUCGUGCAGCCGACGUACAGAUGGCGAGCGAGGAGGAUACAUACCGCCGGUGAGGAAAAUGCGCGCGCGGCGGGCGGCCUUCGGCGAUAAGGGGAGGCGGCGGCGGCGGACUGGAGACUGGAGUCCAAUUUGGGUGCGAAUCUCGCCGGUCUUUUUUUCUUUUAGAAAAUGUUAGAUGGGGAACGUCAGAUAUUAGACAUGUCGCAGCGAACUGCCCGACCAGCGUUGGAUCGAAAUCACCAAUCCCAAAGCACCCGCGGCCACCAUUUUUUCGACAAAGGGUGGAUUUUAUUGACUCAAAAUAAAGCAUCAAGUUGAUACAAACAUGAUGAGAACAUACCCGGCCUCUGCAUAACUAAGAUGCACACAGUCAACACUAACGCACACAAAAACCUAAGCAAGAGAAAAACCCGAAGCUAACAAAUCCGCGAUCGACAAACUACAACAAUGACCAUAUGCACACCAACCAUCUCAUGACACCAUAAGGACAACGGGGUUCUUCAACAGCAACGCCUUCAUGAAGGAAGCGAUGCUCGAGCGUCGCCGUCACCGGAUCCAACCACCAAAGGUUGGACUCUAAGUUUUCACCCUGAAGAAUUAGUCUAAGCAUAUAUGAGCAAUGCCUUCAACAAGGGAAUGGACCACUCAUGUCAGACAUAGGUUUUCACCUCGGAGCUCGAGACCGGGUACUCGAAAGCACCACCAUCGAAGUCAAUCAUAUGUUGUCGCCACCGCUUCUCCACGAUCCUAGCAGCUGCUCGCCGCUGUACAACCAUAUCCUCUGCGUCAAGUCGUUGUCCAUCGUUUGCAUCUCGUCGCCGAACGAAACCACCGGAUCUGAAGAGAGUAAUCCCCGCGAAGAUCUUCCGGUGGCCACCGCAAUCCGCAAUGAGGCCGCCGCUAACCGGAGUGAUCAUCACAUGGACCAACACCGUCGGUGGAGCACAUCACCGGUGAGUGCCAUCUGGCCAAAGAGAGCCCUAUCCAGGCCUAUAGACCAAAAGCAUACAUGACCGGAUCUGAAGCACGAAAGACAGAUCUGUCUACCAAGAACCACGGCACCGCAGCCAACCUGGGCACAACACCACGACCAAAAUCCACCGAGACGCCCCUAUGGCCAAAAUCAAAUGCUUAGCAGGAGCACUGCCGCCACAAAGCGUAUGGAUCUGGCCGUCGCGCUGCACCGGCCCCGUGCCUCCGGCACAGCCUCGCCGCCAUGCCGCCAGUAGCCAUCACCACGCCCCACAGGAGGAUGUCGAGAACAGUCGCCGGUCACCGCGACCCAGCCGAGUCCCGACGCGCGCCGACGUGCCGCCCGAAGCUGCCGCCCGACAGAUCGGAGGCUGUCGCGAGAUGGCGCCCCGCCGUUGCUGUCGGCCGCGUGAGCUUUGCCUGCGGUGUCCUCCGGCAGCGGCGCGACGAGGCAUGUAGAAAGGAGAGGCGGUGGCGCUAGCAACCGCAUUCCGCCCGAGUCGCCCAGGGCAAGGCGACGCGGGCGUUCUGUUGUCAACCGGACACGAAGCCGGCGGCUCAUCGGGCGUCAAGCCGUCGGCGAGGACGGCUCGUCGGGUGACUGGACAUGCCCUCCAACACGGGCAUGGCCAGGGGCUACCUACUCACCCUUGCAGUGUCACCAGCCACUGUGCAUAGCAGUUCCAGCGAGCUGUUGCGUAGCCUCCCUGCGCAGCGCCGCCAGCGCUCCGCCGUGCGCGUCGGGGCCAUCCUUCCCUGCGUCGCACCUGGUCGCGCGGGGAGGAGUGUGCUGCUCUCAAGGAUGGCUCGGGGAGGAGGGUCGGACCUGGCCGCUGUAUGUGAACAGUGCAGCUAAGGCAGAACGACACGACGGUCGGCUACUCGGGAACGGAAUCCGCGAAAGAACACCAUGGGCGCCCCCGUGCUUCAGGGGCCGCUCGCCCAUGCGCUGCACGACAGCGAGGGAAGCGGCCACAUCCAUGACGCGGCUCGGAUACGCGACCUGGUCUUCCUGGCGCGAUGCCCAAGAAGGCGCCCACUUCGACUUCCAUGACGCAGCCAACGAGGAUGGCGUCGAAAGCCGACCACAGCGUGUACGUGUCACCCGGCGACGCACACAUGCUCGGCGAUGGAGAAGAAUAAACCACAGCGGAGCUCGACCGGAGACAGGGAAGAAAUAAGAGGCGCUCACAACCUGUUUGUUGAAAUGCUUAUGGAGAAAAAAAGAAGAAAUAAAAAGAAAUGGUAAAAAUAAAUAAUAAACUGUUGAGCCAUUGGCAGGUGGGACCUUCGUCCAACUCAGCAUAUUAUCCAUAUAAGCACGCGAUAUGCGGGCCCUAUCUGUCGGUUUGGCUUCUUUUCAUGGCCAAAUCCGAGCGCUAGUGCUCCGUACUACUGGCUAGGCGCUGAGUUUAUGGUUGUUUUAUGCCCUAACAUAAAUAUGACAUUAAAUUGUUACCCUAGCCUGAAGUGUGGUGCGGAGGUUUUUUUUUGGACCCAACGCUUGAUGGUAUUCGUGGACGGUACGAAAACUUCUCUCCUAGCAAAAUGCCAUGCUGCAGCUAAAUGGUGAAGAUGUGGUAGUACUAAUUUUGAGACGAUUUGGUAGUGUGUAGGGGGAAUUGCAGAACUGAUUUUAGGCGGAGAGCACGGAGGUGGAGAGCCCCAAGCGUAGCUGUUCGCCGCCAACGAGGCAUCGUUGGGCGUCGAGGACUCGCCACAGGAGUCGGAGAGGCGGAGGUCGACGAGGAGCCGCCGCGCGAUUCACCGUCGGCGGCAGGCGGAGGUCGUCCUGGAGGUGGACGAGCCCGUGCCGCUCGCGGCAGAGCUUGUCGUCCCUCUGGCCUGGGGGGCAGACGAGCACGCCCCGCUACGGUUUGAACGCACGACGGAACGCCGAACACGCUCGCGAUACGCAUCAUCGUCGGUGCAUCCUUGGCCUGAUCUUUUCCGAUCCAUCUGCAACAGCCAACCGGCAGCUAUUUCUAAGGAUAAACUGCUGCUGCUAUUUCUGAAGGUUAAAACUGCUGCUGACCCUUGCGCGCGCGCGCGCACACACACACUCAAACGACCAGCAGAAAACCAGAGCAGGUUUCUGUUUCAAUAGUUGCAUUCCACUCUCUCCACGUCCUUCACACGUUCACUACUCGCAUUUAGCUCAAGUCAUUGUAUAAAUUUCUCGGCAGAUGGCAAAUUUAGGGAAUUUUUUACUUGUCACAUGGCAUUUUUAACCAUGGCAACUUUUGUUGGAAUGUAGAAACACUAUUUGUUACAAGUAGGGUACAUGGCAUUUUUUUAGCUACCUAAUUGAAAAAUACAUAGUAACUAUUUAUAAUCCAUGUUUGCCUAGAUGUCUAGUUUUCACCAUUCCACAUGACAAAAUGUUCUACCAGUGGCUGGCUACCUGCCCGUCACUAUUAAACAUGUUAGCAGUGGCCAGAGGUCAGCGACAGGCUCCUAAGAGCCUCGCCCGUCACUGAUGGACUUUUUGUGCCCGUCACUUUUGUGCCUUGCUGCAGUAGUGUAACCUCAUCUCCCAGUCGGAAGGAGUGUUGUCACUACCAACUAUGCAGCGCAGACCUGCUUGUCCACCUUCCUGUCACCUCCCAAUCCCAUGCAACGUUGUCAUGUAAGAAACAUCUACUCAUCGACUUGCUCAUGCAGUGAAGGUAUAUGAUAAACAACCACAACCACAAACACACACAUGAAUAUAGCUAGGUAGCGAGCCCUACCAAAACAAGUGCUUGUUGAUAGCAUAAAAGAUGCCAAUUUAUAAAAGCCAUCUCGACAUGUAGUUAUGUGACGAUCUAAGAUAGGUUUAUGCAGUUGAGGUACAAUCUGUUUUGAGAUCAUGAAAAAGCUUGUCCUUUGACCACCCACCUGUAUGUACCUAGCUCGAUUCACCUGCUUUCUUAUAUGCCAUUUAUGUUGCACACAUUUCUCUCUCUGAUUGAUGCAGCACGCCCUGGUAUAUAUACUCAUAUACAUAGACAUGUUUUCGAGGAAAUGUAUAGAGACAUGCCUUGCCUAGUAUUCAAGUUUGAUAUCUAAAGAGACAUGUUAUCCCUCGUAUAUAUUCAAAUGAUGAACCGUCAGCAAUAUUGAUGCAUAAACUUUAGCUUUAGCCAUAGAAAGAAGCUAGUCGCUUAUAGUUAGUUAGACUAUACUGAUCCUCGAGUCCACAAAGCUAUUCAUUUUGGGAAUACUUUUACUCCAAAUUUCUAAUCUGGUUACCAGUAUUUGAAAAAAGAACUGAUUACAUGUAUGUUUGAAAAGGCAUAAAUACAUAGAUUUGUGUUGGAAAAUACCUCCAUGCAUGAUACAGUAUUGUACAAUGCUACUUUAGUAAAAGUAAUGCACAAGUUAUUGCCAAUCUCCAAAAUAUCAUCCUUUUAAUGACUAGUGGGGUUGAUCAGUAUUGGUGUUUUUUUUCCUCAAAAAAAAGCAUUGGUGUUUUUUUAAAGUAGAAUUCAAGCGGCCAUUUCAUGUGUCUGUUCUCAUUUUCCCCUUCAAGUAUCAUGAAAAUAUAUCGCUGAGGAACAAUCACAUAAAAUAAUAUGAAGUGGUACACUAAAAAUGACUUAAAGCGCUGAAGAAUAAUUGAAUGUAGUGAAGGCUGGGGAUUUGUUUACCCAAGUUCGAGUUGUUGGCAACAACUCUGCAUCUUGAUUUGAGAGGGUGAGCACACUCCCCUGAAGUCACUUACACUACAACUUAAUUGGUCGCUAGGUGUGCGCUCGUUGGGGAAGCGCCGGCUAUGUCCGAUGUGAUUGGGGCGGUGGGAGCUAUCCAUAGAUUGGAAAGUUAAUUGGUCGAAACUGCCCAUCCGUAAAUCUGAUUGGUACUCCUUUAGCUCGGUAGGGAGUAACAAGGUACUCUAAAAUAGCUCAUUCGUACCUUAAUCGCUUGUCAUGAAUCAUCAAAACAGAGCAGUGGGCACUAGGUGAGCUUACAUGUUUAUUCUCAUUUUCCUUCAAAUGCAAACCAUGGAAAUAAAAGUUGGACAAUUGGCCAUUUCCUACACACAAUCGAGUUGAGCAAUGUAUUUAUUUGGUGCAUGCAUCAGUGUGUUCUUACCCCAUCGUGCCCUAUCGUUAUGGGAAAAUCAAACUACAACCUGUUCUCCCUCAGUUUUCAUAUAAUCUAAAUUCCCAAACUAUAAAUUUGUAGCCUGAGUAAUCCAGUAAAAAAUCCAGCUAACCAGUAGAAAUUUUGAUAUAGGACGGGUUGAAGCUAACCAAUUUAUGAAUAUCCCUAAUAAACAUCAUCUAGACUAUCAUCCACUAGAUGAAGUGGGCAAACGGAUCUCUCCAUGGCAUCCUCAUACGCCAAUCCUCUUAUUGGCUGGAGGUGUUCCAUCUGUAUUGUGGCACACACUGCCUUCUUGAAUAGUUCAGCUUUAUUAUGUAUGUCUUCUCUUUCCCAUCAUUCAGAAAAAAAUAGGGAGGGCAUCCCCAAGUUCAUUACUAGAAUGAAAUCGGCAAACAACAGGUCCAACAAGUUAUACGACAACUCACGGUCCGCUGACAAUGAAACUAAAUUUAAAAUAAAACCAAUUACGGCCCCAACAAUUGCAUAUACCAAGAACUAGAAACCGGGCGGCGGUUCCGGCCAGUGGUGCAGCUCUGGUCGUGCGAUCCCGGCAACAGACGUCACCCAUAGGCGUGUUGGAUGACGGAGGAGCUCGAUCUGGUGGUCCAGCCGGGGAUGGGCAUGAAUUUGCCAGCGAAAGCUUGGUUCGGCCUCGUCCAUAAACGUCAAUGGCGGCGCCCGCGAGUGUCCUUACCUCAUUGGAGGCAUCAUGGGGGGAUUCACAUUCCUUGUAUGCCCUGGGGGAAACCCCAGAUUCAGGUUCUCUAGAUCGGAUGAUGGCGAGGUUCCUGCAUCAUCACCCCCAUGGGGGGCAUCAUCUUUGGGGUUGUACAUCGGCUCGAGGGACAAGUGUUUGGCUUGGUGGCUGGGCGCAGGUCUCCAUAUGCUUCUUGUGCCGUGACCAAAGUGGAGCGACGUGCCAUCUACAGUAUUGACGACGACGAGUCUUGGCGGUAACGUGCAGUGGGGUCUGACCGUUUGAUGGGGGUGCGUAGGAGGCUGGUGUUGUCCGUUGUCGUGGUGGCGUCGACAAUAGAAGGGUUUGGCAACAUGAGUACGUUGUUGCUCCCGAAGAUGGGACUGCGGGAGAAGGCGGUGGAGGAUUCUACAUUUUGCGCAUGCGAUGCACGCCGAGGGUGUGAUAGACCGGUUGGUGCUCCCAGCUAGCCGGCGGGUGUCUUGGUGAGGCCAUCGGAUUUCUUGGUGUGCACAACGCGAGGUCAGGGCACAUCAUCAAUCGUGUGGGUAGGGCGCCAGUUUUCGCCAGGAAUACCUCUUUGGAUUGAUCUAUGUAGUUAUUUUGUAAGAGCUUGUUGAAUAAUGCAAUAAAGUUAGCUGUAUGCAUCGCGCGGAGCAGAGACCGGGGGUGAUCCUCAUUCUUGAAAAAAAAGAUGAAAAAAAAACUAAAGCAAACCACAGUUUCAACAUUGCAUACAACAAGAACUAGAGACCAUGGAUUUUUAGCCUUCUUUUAUCAGGCAACUACAUGGAGAUAUAUCUUCUACCCCUUUUCCAGUGUAUGUGUCAUGUCAUAAGCAAAUUAAGAAGGCAUACUAAUCAUCAAGCAAAGUUCAGCAGUGCACAUGUACUCCAGGUAGAGCAUUGCAUAUUUCAGUGAUGGGUUGUAGUGCAUUUGCAUUAUUCCAACCAUUUCGUCUUGGUAUCUAGAGAUGCUAGCUUGGUACAAUGUUUCUUUUGGAUCUAGAAUUCCAUAUCGAAGAACUAUCUGGGUCGAAUGCGUUAAAGCCAUGCUUAACCUUUGUACGCACACAGUGACCUGCUAAAUCUAGGGGUCUGCGGCCUACAAUAUAUGGUCGAAAAUUGCUGUUGGUUUCUUGCCCUCAUGUGCCACCUGUGCCACUGGUGGUCCGCUGGUAACAUGACUUGCAAGCCGUCUAAGAUAGCAUAUCACUUGCAGCUGCGUAUCUUCUACGGGUCCAUCACUCCCAAGAGAGGUGCUAACACCAUCAUCCGUAGUCCAGAUUCCUGUCACCUCCCAAUCCCAUUCCCAUGCAGCGAAGUAAAGGAAUAAACAUCUACUAUCCACCUGUAGCAUGGCCAUGCAGAGACUUGCUCACCACUACCACGCACGUGAAUAUAGCUAGCUAGCCUGGCGAAAACAAGUUCAUGCCAACCGCAUAAACGAACCAAUUUAUAAAGGCUCUCCUGAGACCAGCUGGUAUCUGGGCAUGUAGUUAUGUGGCGGUCCUAGACAUGUGCAUGCUGGUGAGGCCAACUAUGUUUUGAGAACAUCACUAAGUUUCUCCUUGGACCACCUACCUUGUCUGUACCAAUCUUGUAUGCCAGAUUAUGUAUGUACCAGUGUUGAUUUCUUUUACAUGCAAGGCAGGAGCAACACAGAUUUCAUUAAAAAUAGAAAAAUAAAAAACAAAGUGGCCAAUUUAUGCAGAAAACUAGGCCGAAAACCAUACAAUACACGAUUGGUUAAGAGACAAUCGUGCAAAAAAAAAAAAAACCAACCAUGCCGACAUCGCCGACUCAAACUCAAUCACCAACAUGUGCACAACCCGAAGAUGCAUGGGUGAGCUCUUCGGAGAUGCCUUCAAGAAGCAUCGUCGCCUGUAUCCUUCGACCCCUCAUCAAACCAAGGCUUUCGCCCAGAGCCACCCACAGCAGCUCGGACAGACCUUGGGAAAAAGAAGGUGACACCAACAGCCACCACAGCAACCCGCGGACCAACAUGCGGCGGUCUAGUGGAGAGGAGGAACUCUUCGACAACAAAUUCAAAGAAGAAGGACGCCACAACACCAGCGUUGCCGGUAUCCUUCGAUCCUCAUCGAACCAUCACCAAGAGCCCUAAGCCCUAAGCUCCUCCACCUAUCUGAGCCUUGGGGAAGAGACCCAGCCAUUGCCAAUGGAGAGUCAACCGAGGCCACACUGGAUCAACAGGAGCAGACCAAGGAUGUCAAACUUGAGAGCCCGCGGAUCGAGCCGCACAACACCAGAAGACAAGCAGACGCCGAUGAACAACAAAACACAGUUGAGCCCAUCGUCAAGGACGAAAUCCUGUGAAAGGAAGCCCCAGCCGUGCACCACCCCCACGUGCCUCCACCCCGCCGCUCACACAACCAACGACAUCCAAUGCCACCGCCAGGCCACCGCAUGCUGACGAUCCGGAACCAGCAGAUCCAGGCACGAAGCCCCAAAUCCGGCACCACGACGACUUGUGUCCGCCUCCCCAGGGCAUCGGCACGGCCUUGAGCGCCGCCGACGCAAGGCAGGCAUGGGCCUAAAUCCAUGCUCCAUGAAGCCGCACUAGCCAUUGAGCGCCUCGGCGCACCGCUGCCACCGCCUCUCCGCCGUGAAGUCACAGUCGUCGUGCUAAAAGCAAUUGUCGCCUCCCGGCGAGGCUGCAGUCACCGCGCGGCCAACUAGGGCCAGGACCCGACGCGCGCUCCCGCGAAGCACCACCACCGCUCACAAGACUAAGGGCAUGCAGCGCUGCCGCCAGGACGUCUCAUGCUGACGACUCGGAACCAGCAGAUCCAGGCACAAAGCCCCAAAUCCGGCACCAUCGCGACUUGGGUCCGCUUCCCCAGUGCAUCGGCACGACCCUGAAUGUCGCCCCUGCCGCAAGGCAAGCACGGGCCUAAAUCUGCGCCCAUGAAGCCGCAUCAGCCAUCGAGCGCACCGGCACACCGCUACCACCGCCUCUCCAUCGUGAAGCCACAGUCGGCACGCCACAAGCAAUUGUCGCCUCCCCGCGCGGCCGCAGUCACCGCACUGCCAACAAGCGCCACGCCCCUGGAGAGCGACGCGCCCGAGUAGUCUGCUGGAUUCAUGCAUGUGGGUACUAAUGUUAAUUCACCUAUCUUUUUAUAUGCUAUUUAUGUUAGACAAACUGUUUAUGUUACUCAUAAACCCCCUAUUUGACGCAACCCGCCCUAGUAUAUAUAUAUAUACUCAUAUAUAUAAGAGACAUGUUUUUGCUUCGUAUCCAAGUUAUAUGUAAGAGACAUGUUAUAGUACAUACUAGUAUUCAUGUGUCAAAUCGUUGGCAAUGUUAAUAUGAGCCAUAAACUUCAUCUUAGCCAUAGAAAGAAGCUAGUCGCUUACUUAGAUGAUAGUCUCCAUUGUUUCCCCAAGGCUUUUCAUUCUGGACACAGUUUUUGUCCAAAUAUUAUAUCUGACUACGUCUAUUGAAAAAAAUGUAUUACAUAUGUUUGAAAUGGCAUAAAUAUUGAUUGUGUUGAAAAAUACUUCCAUGCCUAUACAAUACUUCCUCCGUUUCCCCCGCAAAAAAAAAAAACUUUCUCCGUCCCAUAAUACAAGAACAUUUAGCUUGAAAAAUAUUGUUAUAUUAUGGGACGGAGGCAGUAGUUUAUAGUGAUAUUGGAAAAAACUAAUGUUCAGUUAUCCCAAUCUCCAAAAUCUCAUCCUUUAAACCACAAGAGGGUUCAUGACGAUUAGAUAUUUUUGUAGAAAAACUGAAGUGGCCUUUUCAAGUGUUUAUCCUCAUUUUUCUCAUUGAAGUGCAAAUCAUUCAAAAAAAUAAGUUGGAUAAUUGGCAAUUCGAUGUGCACCAUGGAGUCCAUGAGUUGAUGAACGGAAUUGUCGCCUCAUCAAGCCAUACAUUCAUAUAUAUGGCAAAUGAAAACUAAGCCCUUUUCUGCCUUCAAUUUUCAUAUAAUCUCAAAUCCCAAACUAUAAAUGUGUGGAAUACACGGCUAGCAAGUGUUUGUUCAAUUUUUCUUCCAUGCACGUGACCCCAACUGCCCGAGUACUGCAGUACGAUUUGAGAUCACGCUCGACUCGCGUGUGCGAUGAUGUGUUACUCCCUAGCGCUUUCCCCUUGCUAGAUGCGGGAUUCACUUCAGGCAUUACACAGAGCUCAUGUCUCUGCCUCCCCCCUCCCCAACCGCACCGCCGCCGACGCAGACCGUCCGUUGUCAUGACUCCCGUAAAACCUCUCACCGAUUGCGCCGCUGCCAACCUAGGGCGACUGACAAGGCGCCUCAUUCACCGCUCCUCACAACCACGCCUAUCUCCUCCCUCAAGAUCGGCCCGGGCUCGUCCUGCCUCGCUCCCACAAGCUGCUCCACCAGCCAUGCUGCAAGUUGAGCUUGCCCUGCCUCUCUCUCCCCCACUGCUCUUGCCAGCCAACGAAUUGGUAUCAGAUUUUUCUUGGUGCAUGAAUUGUCUAUGACAUGUAUGUAUGGCUUUGCAUAUGCUUGUUGUAUGAAUUGGUAUCUUUAGGUCUAUUCGUGAUUGUUGUAGUAUUUUUUUUGUGGUUGUGAUGAUUUUUUUUAAAAAGAAGCUAGAACCCAACCAUAUUUUGCAAGGCAUCGAUGGAUUCAGACAACUAAGAUAGACACAUUACAAGAUAUAGAAUUAGCAUAUACGAUUAAGUCGACUUCUUCUGCAACAACGCCUUGAAGAAGGAAUAACCGCCCUCAUGCCCGCUGUCGGGUGGUAGGUGCGACAUAUGCCAACGGGUGGCUUAUCAUUGUGGGAGUCAGUAAGACAUCGCCGGUGCCUGGAAGCGGGAUAAGGCGAAGACAUGCACGCCGGCGAAUCUUACCCAGGUUCGGGGCUCUCCUAGGAGAUAACACCCCUAGUCCUGCUCUGCGGGGUCUCCGCAUGAUCACUAGAUCAACACAAGGGGCUACAAGAGGCUCCUUGAGCUGUUCGGCUAGAGGAAGAAGAAGGGCAAGGCCAGCUCUCCUCUUCGCUCUAUGUGGUGUCUAAAACUCUAACAGAUCAGCCCUCUGAGAGCUUCUUUCUCUAAGAGCUCCUCCCUUUGCAUGGGUGCCCUGGGGGUUUAUAUAGGCCUACCCCCCAGGGGUACAAUGGUAAUCUGGCUGGACGUAGGCCCAGACCGUCAGCGUCUGUAGUCGCCGGCUUCUCCGCCGGUCGCUGGGGCCCGCCGACUGGUGGGUCCCGCCGGCUGCCGGCCUCUUAGCCGACAGGCUGGGGCCACCGCUUGGGGGUCUUGUCGGCGGCUGGUUACUGUAGCCUCACUCUUGGUGAUGACGGCUUUGACGGGAUAAGCAUGGCUACAGUGCCGCCGCCUGGCGAGCUCUCACUGUAGCCUUACCCCGUCUUGUCUGCUUAAUGGUACACGCAUUUCGAGGGCGAGGGUGGGCCGACUGUUGGGAGUCGGCCUCCCCCCAGGCCGAGUGGGCGAAGCUCGGCCGCCUUCUGAUGUCUCUCUGGCAGAAGGGGCCCGCCGCCUGCAGGCCGUACUGACAGCCUGUCGUGGGGGGCGUCAUGGUCAACAUGGCAACAAUGCCGCGCCGGAUGGGGUGUGCCGCCCUGUACGGCGCACUGUGGCCACGCUUGCUCCGGGAUUCGGGGGUGGCAGGCUUCACUGUAGCCACGCCCCGUCUCAUCGCCGUUAUGGGGGUGCAGACUUUGAGGGUGCGAACCAGGCCGCCUGCUAGGAGCUGGCCUUCUGGUGGCCGGCUGCUAGGAGUCGGCCCUCUUCGCGAGAGCUCUUAGAGCCUUGCCGUCUUCCAGCAGCCGGCCGGCGGGGCAGCCGGCCAGGAGAAGGCGGCCCUGUGUCUUGGAUGUUUGAGGGCUCGGCCAGCCCAAUAAUUCUUGAAGAACCAAGGGGAGUUGGUUAGGCUACCCGUCGUCAUUUACUCCGACAGUAGUCCCCGAAGCUGGUCGGACUUCGCGGCUGAAAGGUGGACGAGAAGUUUGAGCAGCUUCCUAUCUUGGAGAGCCAACAGCUGGGAGCCGGCCUCGAACUGACGCGCCGUCUUGGAAAGGUUUUGGGGCCCGAAGGCGGGAACCGCUGGCGCGCGCGCCAGGUGGCAGACCGGCCGCCCGCCGCCCGCGCGCCACGCGGCACUCUUCGGCCGGACCGGCCCGCCAGCCCACGCGCGCGACGGGACGUCGCCGCAGGCUGGGGCCCGCCACUACCAUGCCUCGGCCCACGCGCGGAUUCGCCGUGGCCGAAGCGGGCGGUUUGCACUCCAGUGGCAGUUUCCGCGCGCUGUUAAGGCGCGAUAAUUGCAGGUCAUGGGGGAGUGGGCGCAGUUAAUCCCACGUCCCCCACGUUUCGCCCCCUCGGCCUUGCCUCGCCGAGGCUAUAAAUAGGGGGAGGAGGGGGAGCGGCAGACGCCUGCACGUUCGCCUCCCGCUUCGCCAUUCUCUUCUUCUUCCUCUCUGUUGCUGCUGCUGCUCGCCGCUGCGCCGUUCCACCGGUCACCUUGCUACGUCGCAGCUUCGCCGCCGCGGGGUCGCGCUCUCGCCGCCACCGCGCUUUAUCCGUCAGCCUUUCGCCUUCAUGGCGUGCGCCGGAGCCUGGGACGGCUCCAACGUCCAUGAAGACCACAUCGACUUCCUCCGCAAGACGCGGCGGCUGCCCGGCGAGGAUUACGUGCGGGUCCGUCUCGCGCCGGAGCGGGAGAUCUCGCCGGCGCCGGAGGAGGGCGAGCGGGUCAUCUUCCGCUCGCACUGCCUGCGUGGCCUUGGCUUGCCGGCGAGCGGCUUCUUCCGCUCCUUCCUUGAAUUCUACAAUCUUCAGCCGCACCACCUCACCCCGAACACGGUGGUGCUGCUAUCCGCCUUCGUCACUCUGUGCGAAGGCUUCCUCGGCGUCCUUCCCACCAUCGAACUUUGGGGGGAGUUCUUCUACUCCAAGCUCGGCACCGUGAUGAAGGGCGUGCCGGCCCAAUGCGGCGCCUUCGUCGCAGUGCGGAGGUUGGCGAACGACAAUCCAUUCCCCUCCAUCGCGUUGAUCCAGUCGGUGAAGAUGUGGCAACGGUCAUACUUCUACGUGAAGAGCAUCUUCCCCCAGGGCGACUGGGUCAACCUGCCGGCUUACGUAGCCGGCGCGCCGGCUGGGAGGCGGCCCAGCUGGUCCUAUCGGGCCAAGUCGCUCUCGCCUUCUGGAGCCGCCACCGUCGCACGGCUCCGGGUGUUGAUCUAGUCGGAGGGCCUGACCGGGCCCGACUUGCUGACCGCCUUCGUGGCGCGCCGGAUGCUCCCGCUCCAGGGCCGCCCUCACAUGAUCUAUCAGAUGAGCGGGCACCUUGAUCCGAGCCGGUUGUGCAUCAAGGAGAUGCCUCACACAGAGGUAGCCCACAUGGUGAACUAUCUUUCGAACUGCAAGCUCACCGAUGAGUGGCAGUUUGGCAAGGAGCCGUAUUCUCGCGCCGAUCCCUCGCCUACGGUAAGCUUUCUUUUCUGUUCUUUUUCUUUUGUUGCCGAGCUCUUCUUGGCCGACUUUGACCAAUCGGCUUGUCUAACAGAGCCCCCUCCUUCGACCGGCAGCCGGCGCCGCGGGGUUGGAGCGCCAAUAUCUCCCCGACCGGACGGUGAGCGAUGAGGACGACCCCGACUUGGGGGCGACCGCCUUGGACGACGACGCCGUGGGAGGAGGCGGCGAAGCAGGCAGCUCGGGGCUCGGAGCCGGCCUCGAGGACUGGCCGGACGACGACGAAGCGGAAGUCGUCCCGCGCCGCCAGCCGGCGUCCGACCAGCAGGGCGCGAGUUCGUCCACCGCACCGGCCGCCCAAGGCGGCGUGCAGAAGCGCCGGGCCGCGCCGCUCCUGUUCAGCAGCCGGUCGAAGAAGCCCAAGAGCUCGGCUGCGGCGACCAAGCGGGACGAAGCGGCCGCGAAGGCUGCCCGCUUCCGCAAGACGGUGAAGCAGCCGCAGAUGGUUUCUGCGUAAGUGUCGAUUCCCUCACGUGUUCCUUUCUUUUUUCUUGAUGAUAUUUCUAUGAAUUUUCUUUGUCUUGGCUUGAAAACAGGGCUCCGCUUUCUCUUGAGCGGACUGCCGCCGCCUCCGUGGUCGUGGCAGCGGGAGGCUCCGCCAGCGCCACCGCGUGGACCCUCGUGCCGAGCUUCAGGCGGCGACGGAGCGGAACGCGCGUGAAGCGCGGGAGGAGCGGGAGGCGAAGCAGCAGAAGGCGGCUGCCGCCAAGGCGGCACAGGAGGCGACGAAGGAGACGGCAAGGGCGCAGGCCGAUGUGGCGGCCAAGGCCCAGGCGGAUGCCGCAGCCGCGGCGCAGGCGGUGGAGGCCUUGCACAACUAGCCUCCGCAACUCGUCAUCCCCCUUCGCUCCGUGGCGCCCGAGAUCCCGGUGGUGCCGCCGGAGGGAGCCGGUGGCGAUCAGCCGGCGAUGGAGAGGGAGGAGGGCGACGUCGUCGUCCUGGAGCAGGAGGCGGCUCCGCCAUCGCCGACUGGGGCGGACCAAGGCGGCCAGCCGAGCGCGCCACCCGUGCCAUCGGCUGGAGGCGAGCCGGCUGCAAGGGCGGACCUCGUGGUCCGGUCUCCGGCACGCCAGCGCGCAGGGAAGGCGACCUCGGCGCCGGACCCGCGGAAGGCCGCAGGCCCCAACUUGUCGGCCCAAGACCUGGAGACGGCGAGCGUCGGCUCGCCGGGGUGGACGCCGGGUGGCGGGACGGCCGUGCUGAACGCGGCAGCGCAAGACGUUCGGACCCGGCUUCAGUCUCAGGCCACCGUGCUGAAGCAGUUCAACCAAGGGUUCCUGGCGACGCGGGCAGCUAUUCGGGUAAGCUUCUCGCUUUUUUGUUUCUUGUUCUUGAAUUCUUUCGUGGGGGCGCGUCAGCGCACCCACUGGGUAUAGUCCCCGAGUUCCGAGCCGGCUGCUGAGCAGGCGGCUUGGAACUUCUUAGUAUACUUCGAGUGCUAACUCGUCCUUAUUUGUUCGUCCGUCCCAUUUGCAGGACUAUCAUAAACUCUGUGCGGCCGCCUUCAACUCCCAUAUCCGGGAGCUGAAUCAGAAGACCGUCGACUUGUCUGAGAGCCGGAGUAAGUGUUUCGUCUUCUAUCUCUCGUGGGGGCGCGUCAGCGCACCCACUGAGUGUAGUCCCCGAGAAUCGGGCCGGCUGCUGAGCAGUCGGGCCGGAUCUUUUCUGGCGACUUCUUUCUUAUUGCUUUUUCUUCUUUGACAUCUCUGCAGAGGCCAAUGCCGACCUGCGACAGCAACUGGGUGAGGCCCAGACCGCCCUGCGCGUCAAGGAGGCUGAAUACAACACCUUGGUUCAGGAGCGCGACCGCCUGGCCAAGAAGCUGGCCGACCAGGAGGAGAGCCACAAGGCGGCCCUGAAGGCGGUGAAGGACAGCGAGGCCGCCCUCCAAGCUGAGUACGAGACCGAGGCGGCGAACUGGGCCGAGUCGAAGCAGGCGCUGAGUGACGGCUAUGGCCAGAUUGAAGACCUGGUUGACGGUAAGCCGCCUUCCUCUUCGUCCCUUUGUUUGCCGCCUGCCGCUUGGUCCGACUUCUGACUUGUGCUUUUUCUUAUUUUCUUUUCUUCUUUGUACAGAGUACUUCCCUGGCUACUCUGUUGCCGCCAGCCAAGUCAUCGAGGCCCACCGCAACGCACAGAGGCAGGCUGGCGUUGAGAUUGUGCCAGAUGCUUGCCGGUCGCUCGAGGAGCAGCUUCUGGACAUCCAAGCCCGCCUUCAGCCGGCUCACCACAUGCUCUGCCGCCUUCAGCGCAUUGGAGCCCAAGUGCUGUCCGCCCUCUGGCCUGGCGAAGUGAUUCCCCGCACCCCCAGUCGGGCUGCCGACUGGCUGGAGGUAGCGGUUGGUUGCUUCGAGGCCUGGAAGGCUUUUGCAACUCGGGCAAGCGCCAGGCGGGCGCUGGAGUUCGUCCGGGCGUGGUAUCCCGGGCUGGACUUGGCCCAGCUAAUCACAUGGCGGCAGGAGGCCAACGAGGAGCUGGAGGCGGUGCGUCCGGCUAUCAUCCAGCGCGCCUCGGCGAUCGCCGAGUACACCGACACCAUUGCCUUUGCCCCGAGCUGAAUAACGACGGCGUUGCUUUGCCGGAGGAGUGGUUUGGGCUGAACCCGGCGGAUGGUGAAGACUUGGCAGAGGAGAUCGACUCUAGUGACGAGGGUGAGGAGGAGGAAGGAGAGGACGGUGAAGACGCCGCGCCGGAUGGUGGGCCGGCCAGCUAGCCUCAGCUUGACCGUGCCUCCAGCAACGAGGCACGUGCGAGCGCGCCGCCUGCCGCUGGUGAUGAUCAAGCCGAGACUCGCCAGCCGGCCACUCCUCCAGCCAGCACCGCCGUCUCCACGGACCUGCCCAACUUGCCCAUUGCACCUUUGGCCUGAACCGCCAUCUUUAUCUUUGCUUUCCUGUUCGUUAUUCUUUGAACAAUAUUUGUUAAAUUUGCGCAGUUCCACCCACUGGGGGUGUAUUCAGACUAAGUUGAAUGCCGGCCCUUCGAAGGCCUUUUGUGUAAAUAUAAUCUUGCAUGUGUUUGACGUCCGACUGUGCUUGCUUUUCAUCUUUUUCGGCUGUUUCCUUUGCCGCCCUCCCUUGGUCGCCGCCUUCCCAGCCGGACAGCUGCUCUGUAGUCUGUGGCUGGAAAAGUGCUUGGCCGUGUGGGAGGGCAAGUACUUUAGCUUUCUCAGAUUGUAGUAAGGUGAGUGGGGAGCCGGCCAGCCGGCUGUUUAACAGUUGGUUGGCAGGGUGGGGAGCCGGCUUGUCUUAUGUAAGCUCGUUGGUCCUUAGCCAUUUUUCGUGUGGGCAUCCUUCCCUGCCUUUGACUCUUGCCAGUCGGACAGUCGAUUCUACGAGCUGUGACUUUUGACAAGAGAGGGCUUGGGUGCCGGCACACUACUUGUCUGACUACAGGUGGAACUUAACAUAAUUCAAGGUGGCAAGUCCCCAGGCCAACUGACCGAACCCGGUGCCGGACAGAAGAACAAAUGUAAUAACACAUUCGUGGGGAGCCGGCUUGUCUUAUGUAAGCUCGUUGGUCCUUAGCCAUUUUUCGUGUGGGCAUCCUUUCCUGCCUUUGACUCUUGCCAGUCGGACAGUCGAUUCUAUGAGCUGCGACUUUCGACAAGAGAGGGCUUGGGUGUCGGCACACUACUUGUCUGACUGCAGGUGGAACUUAACAUAAUUCAAGGUGGCAAAUCCCCGGGCCGACUGAUCGAACCCGGUGCCGGACAGAAGAACAAAUGUAAUAACACAUUCGUAGGUAUGAUACUCAUCAUAUAUAGAUAAAAGAGGGUAGUCCCCGAGUUCUCCUGGGGGGCCCGAUGUCUUGUACUUAAUACAAAAGGUAGCGUGGUACAUACUGCUUUUAACUGUAAAAUCUUCGGAGGAGAUUGGUAUUCCAUGGUCGUUCCGACUCCUUGCCGGAAUCAUCUCUCUUGCGCGCCUUGGGCUUCUGUGCGCCGAUCAGGUAGUAGGAGUCGUUGCCCAAGGCUUUGCUGACGAUGAAGGGGCCUUCCCAAGGGGCCAAGAGCUUGUGCUGGCCGGCUGCUCGCUGGAUCAGCCGGAGCACAAGAUCGCCCUCUUGGAAGGAUCUCGGCUUGACCUUCCGGUUGUGGUAACGGCGCAAGCCCUGCUGGUAGAUGGCGGACCGGCUGAGUGCUAACAGCCGACCCUCUUCCAGCAGGUCAACGCCGUCUUCUCGCGCUUCCUUGGCCUCCGCUUCCGUGUACAUGGUGACCCGAGGUGAGUCGAACUCGAUGUCAGUUGGGAUGACAGCCUCGGCACCAUAUACAAGGAAGAAAGGAGUGAAGCCGGUUGACUUGUUCGGGGUAGUACGCAAGUUCCAGAGGACGGCCGGCAGCUCCUCGAGCCAGCAGCCGGCCGAGCGCUCCAGUGGUACGAUCAGUCGGGGCUUGAUGCCGGACAGGAUGAGGCCGUUUGCUCGCUUGGCUUGGCCGUUUGACUGCGGAUGGGCAACGGACGCUAAGUCCAGUCGGAUGCCUUGUGUCGCGCAGAAGCAUGCCAGUGCUCCUUUGGCAAAAUUCGUGCCGUUGUCGGUGAUGAUGCUGUGUGGUAUGCCAUACCGGGUGGUGAUGUCUGUGAUGAAUGUCACAGCAGUCGGCCCAUUCAGCUUUUUGAUUGGCUUUGCUUCAAUCCACUUGGUGAACUUGUCCACGGCGACAAGCAAGUGUGUCAUGCCGCCGCGUGCUGUCUUGAAUGGGCCCACCAUAUCUAGCCCCCAGACGACAAAAGGCCAGGUGAGGGGGAUGGUCUUGAGUGCGGUAGCCGGCAGGUGUUUCUUAGAGCUGAAAACUUGGCACCCUUUGCAGUGUUUGACUAAUUCUUUGGCGUCUUCCAAAGCAGUCGGCCAGAAGAACCCAUGGCGGAAAGCUUUGGCGACAAGUGAUCUUGAAGCCGCGUGGUGGCCGCACUUGCCUUGGUGGAUGUCCUUGAGGAUUGCAAUGCCCUUCUCUGGUUCGACGCAGCGCUGGAAGACUCCAGUGACACUGCGCCUAACGAGUUCUCUGUUCACUAUUGUGUAUGCUCUGGCUCGACGUUGAACUUGUCUUGCCGAGAUCUCGUCAGUCGGCAGCUCUCUGUUUACCAGAAAAUUGAGGAUGGGCUAGGCCCAUGAUGGAGCUGUGACUUCUUCUAUUGCCAACACGGCCACGGCGACCAGGGUGGGUGGGCUGGGUGGUGAAGGGUUGGAGUCGGCCACCGCCUGUUGUGUCGUUGCAGUCCCCGGGCCGGGUGCGACUAUAGCAGUCCCCGGGCCGCCUGUCGAAGUCCCCGAGCCGCCUGCUGGGUUCCCCAAGUCGGAUCCGACUGCAUCAGGGUCAGGCGGUACGAAGAUGGAAUCUGAUUCUGGAGACGGCUUGAUAGACGGUUUGAGGAGGCGUUGGAGGGAGACGCCGGUUGGUAUAGCUUGCCGGGUGGAGCCGAUUCGUGCCAGGGCAUCUGCUUGCUCGUUGUCGGCCCGUGGCACGUGGAGAAACUCGCACCCUUCAAAGUAUCCGCUGAGUUGCUGAACGAGGAAGUGGUAGCUCGCCAUGUUUGCGUCCUUGGCGUCCCAAUCGCCAGAUGAUUAUUGGAUCACCAAGUCCGAGUCGCCGUAGCACAGGAUCCGGCGGAUGCCAAGUUCUUUGGCCAGCCGGAGCCCAUGUAUGAGCUCUUCGUACUCGGCCACGUUGUUGGAGGUGGCAAAAUGAAUUUGCAAUGUGUAUCUGAGCUUGUCACCCUUGGGAGAGGUGAGGACGAUGCCGGCUCCCAAGCCGGUGCGCAUCUUGGAUCCGUCAAAGUGCAUCCGCCAAUGAGUGGAGUCGGGUGCCGGCGGUAGGUACAGGGUCUCGGCCCAGUCGACAAGGAAGUCGGCCGGUACUUGGGACUUGAUGGCGGUGCGCGGCUGGUAGAAGAUGGUGUAAGGAGCCAGCGCAAUGGCCCACUUGGCCACCCGGCCAGAUGCAUCCCGGCUGCCUAUGAUCUCGGCAAGCGGGGAAGUGCAAACGACCGUGAUGGGGUGCUCUUGAAAGUAGGGCUUGAGCUUCUUGGCGGCAAAGUACACACCAUAGCACAUCUUCUGGUAGUGGGGGUAAUUCUGCUUUGAGGUUGAUAGCACUUCGCUCAAAUAAUACACCGGCCUCUGGACUAGCUGAGCUCGGCCUUCUUCUGGGCGCUGAACCACGACGACAGUGCUGACCACCCGGCUAGUUGCGGCAAUGUAAAGGAGCAUGGGCUCUUUCUCAGUAAGUGCCGCCAGGACAGGCGGCGUGAUCAACAUCUUCUUCAACUUGUGAAAAGCUUCGUCCGCCUGAUCGUUCCAUUCGAAGUGAGUGGAUUUCCUCAUGAGCUGGUACAGGGGGAGAGCCUUCUCGCCUAGCCGACUGAUGAAGCGGUUAAGGGAGGCCAGGCACGCGGUGAACUUUUGGACAUCUCGAAGCUUGGUGGGAAUUUCCAUGCUUUCUAUGGCCUUGAUCUUCACUGGGUUGCACUCGAUGCCGCGUUCAGAGACCAGGAAGCCUAGAAGCUAGCCGGCUGGUACUCCGAACAUGCAUUUCUCAGGGUUGAGCUUGAUCUGAAAUCGAUGUAAGUUGUCAAAUGUUUCUUUGAGAUCUUCCAGCAGGGUGCCGCGCUUCUCCGUCUUCACCACAAUAUCGUCUACAUAGACGUGGGCAUUUCUGCCGAGUUGCUUGAGGAGGCAUUUCUGCAUGCAACGCUGAAAGGUGACACCUGCAUUUCUCAAGCCGAAUGUCAUAGUCAGGUAGCAGAAAGCUCCGAAUGGUGUGAUGAAGGCGGUCUUCAGGCGGUCGGCUGGAUCCAACUUGAUCUGAUGGUAACCUGAGUAGGCAUCCAAGAAACUCAACAGCUCGCAUCCGGCUGUGGAGUCUAUCACUUGAUCGAUCCGAGGCAAGGCAAACGGAUCCUUGGGGCAGGCUUUGUUGAGGCUGGUAUAAUUUAUACACAUGCGCCAUUUCUUGUUUUUCUUCAACACAAGGACCGGGUUGGCAAGCCACUCUGGAAAGAACACCUCCAUAAUGAAGUCGGCUACCAGAAGCCGGGCUAUCUCUUCUCCAACAAUCCUUGUCUUUUCCUCCGACAGUCGGCGAAGGGGCUGCUUGAUUGGUUUUGCAUCUGCUCCGAUAUGUAGCUUGUGCUCGGCGAAAUCCGUCGGGACACCCGGCAUGUCCUUGGGGGACCAUGCAAAGAUAUCCCGAUUCUCACGAAGGAAAUCAACGAGCUCGCCUUCCUAUUUGCUAUCCAGGUUUUCUCCUAUAACAGCAAACCUCUCCGGGUGCUCUGGGUCCAGAGAUAUCUUCUUUGUUUCCUUAGUCGGCUGGAAGGAGCCCUGAGCCUCCGACUCCUUGGGGUUAGGUGAUAGGUACGGCUGCUUGCCGGCUAUGGCCACAACCCGGUCCAGCAUCUUCUUCUCAGCAGCAAUCACGAGGGACUCGGCCAGCCGGCUGCUGGCUGCAGCACAAGAAGAGGAUUUCUUGUAGUCUCCGACUACGGUGAUGAUGCCCUUGGAGCUCGGCAUCUUCAUCUUGAGGUAGGCAUAGUGGGGCACAGCCAUGAAUUUGGCCAGGGCAGGUCGGCCAAGUAAAGCGUGAUAAGGGCUCUCUAGGUUCACCACUUCAAACCAGACUGCUUCACGGCGGAAGUGAUCCUUGUCUCCGAAGAGAACAUCUAUCUUGAUAUUGCCGAUUGGUGCGCAGGACAGGCCGGGUACAAUGCCAUGGAACACGGUCCGACUGGGCAAAAGUUGCUUUGUCUUGAUGUUCAGCUUCUCCAUGGUGUCACGGUACAGGAUGUUGAUGCUGCUCCCACCAUCAAUCAGAACUCAGGAGAAACGAGCGGCUCGCCUUUCUGUCGCGAAGGUGGCAUCUAGCACCAACGCAUAAGAACCCGGAGACGGCAUCACCUCUUGGUGAUCAGGCCGGCUCCAGCUGAUAGGCUUUUCAGACCAAUGCAUAAACUCCGGAUCUUUGGAGGCGACUGCAUUGACUUCUUGGUGCUAUCGGCGCCGGCUGCGCCUGUCCUCAGCUUGGCUCGUGAAGAUGACGUAGGCAGUGUGCUCAUCAGGGAACUCGUCUUGAAUGGCUCCGACUGCUGGGCGAGCGGCCGACUUCUGAGGAGCCAGAGGCGGCUGACCAGCAGGCGGAGGGGGCACCAGCCCCUCGCCCUUGGAGAUUCGUGUGAGCCAAUGGCAUUUCCGAGUUGUGAGGUUGGACGGCUUCGCGCCGCUGUGGAACUUGUAGGGGGCAUCAAGGGUUUGCUCGUAGGAGAAAGCCGGCUGCCAAGCCGGCCUGCCGCCCUUUGGUCGCUUGGGCAAGGGUUGUCUUUCAGGCUGCUUGUCUUCAACUGUGGCCACCUACCGGCUGGUGGAAGGCGGCAUAGGAGCCUUGCGCUUGUUGUCGUUCUGGUGCGGGCGUCGUUUGGAGUCGCCUGCCGGCGUCUUUGGAGCCGGAGGAAGUACCUUUCCAGUGUUGGGAAUCGUAGCAUAAUUUAAAAUUUUCCUACGCUCACCAAGAUGCAUCUAUGGAGUCUACUAGCAACAAGGGGAAAGGAGUGCAUCUACAUACCCUUGUAGAUCACGAGCGGAAGCGUUCCAAUGAACGUGGAUGACGGAGUCGUACUCGCCGUGAUCCAAAUCACCGAUGACCGAGUCCCGAACGUAUGGCACCUCCGCGUUCAACACACGUACGGUGCAGCGACGUCUCCUCCUUCUUGAUCCAGCAAGGGGGAAGGAGAGGUUGAUGGAGAUCCAACAGCACGACGGCGUGGUGGUGGAUGUAGCGGGUCUCGUGCAGGGCUUCGCCGAGUUUCUACGAGAGAGAGAGAGGUGUUGCAGGGGAGGAGGGAGGCGCCCAAGGCUGUUGUGUGCUGCCCUCCCUCCCCNNNNNNNNNNNNNNNNNNNNNNNNNNNNNNNNNNNNNNNNNNNNNNNNNNNNNNNNNNNNNNNNNNNNNNNNNNNNNNNNNNNNNNNNNNNNNNNNNNNNAAUCAAAUAGUGACAUGAUAUGGCCAAUAUCAUUAUGCUCCUUUGAUCUCCAUCUUCGGGGCACCAUGAUCAUCUUUGUCACCGGCAUGACACCAUGAUCUCCAUCAUCAUGAUCUCCAUCAUUGUGUCUUCAUGAAGUCGUCACGCCAACGAUUACUUCUACUUCUAUGGCUAACUCGUUUAGCAACAAGUAAAGUAAUUUACAUGGCGUUAUUCAAUGACACGCAGGUCAUGCAAAAUAAUAAAGACAACUCCUAUGGCUCCUGCCGGUUGUCAUACUCAUCGACAUGCAAGUCGUGAUUCUUAUUACAGGAAUAUGAUCAAUCUCAUACAUCAUAUAUAUCAUUCAUCACAUCUUCUGGCCAUAUCACAUCACAUAGCACUUGCUGCAAAAACAAGUUAGACGUCCUCUAAUUGUUGUUGCAAGUUUUUACGUGGUUUGUAGGUUUCUAGCAAGAACGUUUCUUACCUACGUAUGACCACAACGUGAUUUGCCAAUUUCUAUUUACCCUUCAUAAGGACCCUUUUCAUCGAAUCUGUUCCGACUAAAGUAGGAGAGACAGACACCCGCUAGCCACCUUAUGCAACUAGUGCAUGUCAGUCGGUGGAACCUGUCUCACGUAAGAGUACGUGUAAGGUCGGUCCGGGCCGCUUCAUCCUACAAUGCCGCCGAAACAAGAAAAGACUAGUAGCGGCAAGAAGAAUUGGCAAACUCAACGCCCACAACUACUUUGUGUUCUACUCGUGCAUAGUAACUACGCAUAGACCUGGCUCAUGAUACCACUGUUGGGAAUCGUAGCAUAAUUUAAAAUUUUCCUACGCUCACCAAGAUGCAUCUAUGGAGUCUACUAGCAACGAGGGGAAAGGAGUGGAUCUACAUAACCUUGUAGAUCGCGAGUGGAAGCGUUCCAAUGAACGUGGAUGACGGAGUCGUACUCGCCGUGAUCCAAAUCACCGAUGACCGAGUGCCGAAUGUACGGCACCUCCGCGUUCAACACACGUACGGUGCAGCGACGUCUCCUCCUUCUUGAUCCAGCAAGGGGGAAGGAGAGGUUGAUGGAGAUCCAACAGCACGACGGCGUGGUGGUGGAUGUAGCGGCUCUCCGGCAGGGCUUCGCAAGCUUCUGCGAGAGAGAGAGAGGUGUUGCAUGGGAGGAGGGAGGCGCCCAAGGCUUAGAUGUUGCUGCCCUCCCUUCCCCCACUAUAUAUAGGGCCAAGGGAGAGGGGGGGCGCAGCUUUGCCCCUUCCUCCAAGGAAGGGUGUGGCCAGGGGGGAGUCCUUCCCCCCCAAGGCACCUCGGAGGUGCCUUCCCCCUUUAGGACUCUCCUUUUUUUCUUAUCUCUUGCGCAUGGGCCUCUUGGGGCUGGUGCCCUUGGCCCAUAUAGGCCAAGGCGCACCCCUUAUAGCCCAUGUGGCCCCCCCGGGGCUGGUGGACCCCCUUGGUGGACCCCCGGACCCCUUUCGGCACUCCCGGUACAAUACCGAUAAAGCGCGAAACUUUUCCGGCGACCAAAAUAAGACUUCCCAUAUAUAAAUCUUUACCUCCGGACCAUUCCGGAACCUCUCGUGACGUCCGGGAUCUCAUCCGGGACUCCAAACAACUUUCGGGUUUCCGCAUACAUAUAUCUCUACAACCCUAGCGUCACCGGACCUUAAGUGUGUAGACCCUACGGGUUCGGGAGACAUGCAGACAUGACCGAGACGCCUCUCCGGUCAAUAACCAACAGCGGGAUCUGGAUACCCAUGUUGGCUCCCACAUGUUCCACGAUGAUAUCAUCGGAUGAACCACGGUGUCGAGGAUUCAAUCAAUCCGUAUGCAAUUCCCUUUGUCAAUCGGUAUGUUACUUGCCCGAGAUUCGAUCGUCAGUAUCCCAAUACCUUGUUCAAUCUCGUUACCGGCAAGUCUCUUUACUCAUACCGCAAUGCAUGAUCCCGUGACUAACGCCUUAGUCACAUUGAGCUCAUUAUGAUGAUGCAUUACCGAGUGGGCCCAGAGAUACCUCUCCGUCACACGGAGUGACAAAUCCCAGUCUCGAUCCGUGCCAACCCAACAGACACUUUCGGAGAUACCCGUAAUGCACCUUUAUAGUCACCCAGUUACGUUGUGACGUUUGGCACACCCAAAGCACUCCUACGGUAUCCGGGAGUUGCACGAUCUCAUGGUCUAAGGAAAAGAUACUUGACAUUGGAAAAGCUCUAGCAAACGAAACUACACGAUCUUUUAUGCUAUGCUUAAGUUGGGUCUUGUCCAUCACAUCAUUCUCCUAAUGAUGUGAUCCCGUUAUCAAUGACAUCCAAUGUCCAUAGUCAGGAAACCAUGACUAUCUGUUGAUCAACGAGCUAGUCAACUAGAGGCUUACUAGGGACAGGUUGUGGUCUAUGUAUUCACACAUGUAUUACGAUUUCCGGACAAUACAAUUAUAGCAUGAAUAAUAGACAAUUACCAUGAACAAAGAAAUAUAAUAAUAACCAUUUAUUAUUGCCUCUAGGGCAUAUUUCCAACAGAAUUGUGGGCUGGAAAAGGAGCAAAUAUUAGAGACAUAUUCUGCACAACUCCAAAAGUCCUGAAACUCCACGAAAGUCGGUUUUGGAAUAUAUUAAAAAUAUUGGGCGAAGAAAGCACCAGAGGAGGGCCACCCACUGUCCACGAGGGUGGAGGGCGCGCCCUACCCCCUUGGGCGUGCCCCCUGCCUCGUGGGCCACCUGGAAGCCCCCCGAUGCCCAUCUUCUGGUAUAAGGUGUCUUUUGCCCUGGAAAAAAUCAGAAGGAAGCUUUUGGGACGAAGCGCCGCCGUAUCGAGGCGGAACCAAUCUAGGGCUCCGGCGGAGCUGUUCUGCCGGGGAAACUCCCUCCGGGAGGGGGAAAUCGCCACCAUCGUCAUCACCAUCGAUCCUCUCAUCGGGAGGGGGUCAAUCUCCAUCAACAUCUUCACCAACACCAUCUCCUCUCAAACCCUAGUUCAUCUCUUGUAUCCAAUCUUUGUCUCAAAACCUCAGAUUGGUACCUGUGGGUUGCUAGUAGUGUUGAUUACUCCUUGUAGUUGAUGCUAGUUGGUUUAUUCGGUGGAAGAUUAUAUGUUCAAAUCCUUUAUGCACAUUAAUACCCCUUUGGUUAUGAACAUGAAUAUGAUUUGUGAGUAGUUACGUUUGUUCUUGAGGACAUGGGAGAAGUCUUGUUAUAAGUAGUCAUGUGAAUUUGGUAUUCGUUCGAUAUUUUGAUGAGAUGUAUGUUGUCUUUCCUCUAGUGGUGUUAUGUGAACGUCGACUACAUGACACUUCACCAUUGUUUGGGCCUAGGGGAAGGCAUUGGGAAGUAAUAAGUAGAUGAUGGGUUGCUAGAGUGACAGAAGCUUAAACCCUAGUUUAUGUGUUUCUUCGUAAGGGGCUGAUUUGGAUCCAUAUGUUUCAUGUUAUGGUUAGGUUUACCUUAAUUCUUCUUUCGUAGUUGCGGAUGCUUGCGAGGGGGGUUAAUCAUAAGUGGGAUGCUUGUCCAAGGAAGGGCAGUACCCAAGCACCGGUCCACCCACAUAUCAAAUUAUCAAAGUAACGAACGCGAAUCAUAUGAGCAUGAUGAAAACUAGAUUGACGAUAAUACCCAUGUGUCCUCGGGAGCACUUUCCUUUAUAUAAGAGUUUGUCCAGGCUUGUCCUUUGCUACAAAAGGAUUGGGCCACCUUGCUGCACCUUGUUUACUCUUGUUACUUGUUACCCGUUACGAAUUACCUUAUUACAAAACUAUCUGUUACCGAUAAUUUCAGUGCUUGCAGAGAAUACCUUACUGAAAACUGCUUGUCAUUUCCUUCUACUCCUCGUUGGGUUCGACAUUCUUACUUAUCGAAAGGACUACGAUAGAUCCCCUAUACUUGUGGGUCAUCAUCAACCCCAUACAUGACUUCUCAGUGGCUGACCCUUUUGCAAAAUUGUGAGGUUUCGAAACCGGACUUAGAAGUGGUAAUAUUAGUUUGAACCUCUCUGAUAUCCAUGUUCAGCGGAUUAGCGCGAGUGUUUGCAGCUGAUGAGGUGUUGUGUUGUCAAGCAUGCACUGGAAUCCUCCGGUAUGAACGCCGUGACAAUACGUGACGAUUACAGGCCAGCCGGCCCCCAUUUAUUACAGCGGCCAUUUAACCCUUGUGUCUCUUCAACCUUUCGAUCACGCCCCACCUUGCAAGAAGCACACCCACCACGAGAAAUUCUUUGAGGGUAUCCUGCGCGGCUCCAAUGGCGCUUCGAGUGGCUGCCGACGACGAGCAACAGUUCACCAUGCGUGUCGUGGUGGACACCCACAAAAGGUUCAUGGACCUCUCGAUGGUGUACACCGACGACCCGGUCUGGGUGGAGCACUCCAUCCACAUCAUGGAGCUGUUGCUUGCCGAGGAGAAGUACAAGGUGGUCGGGUUCGACCUCGAGUAUACCCGCUCUCAUGCCGAGUCUCGUCCCAAGGUUACCAUCGCCCAGAUGUGCGUACGCCACCACGUCCUCGUCUACCACUACUGCCUGGCUACAAGGCCUUGUGAGCGGUUUGCCAGGUUUGUCAACAGCCCCACUACAUGUUCGCUGCGGUGGAAAUCACCAAUGAUGUAAAGGCGCUCGAGAAUUCGGGCAUCGCCUGCUAGAAUCUUGUUGACAUCCAGGGCCAAUACAAGAUCCGGGGCAGCAAGGAGCAUGAGAAGGACUCACUGGUUCACCUUGUCGAGGCCAUCAUCGACCCCUACUAUAGAGACAUGAAGGAUUCGUGCAACAAGGACAAGCGUGCCUGGCACUCCGCCUGGAUGGAGAAACUCGACAAAGCUCAUGUCGUGUACGCGGCCAAGGAGGCGUACAUGAGCUACAACAUGUACAGGAGGAUCGUUGACAUGAGGAAGUGCCUCCUUCCCCAAAACGGCCAGGGAUCUAGCCGAAAGCAGGGCAAUGGCAAGCGUCGUCGCAAAAAUAAGUAGAUGAUUAGAUCCUCGUUUCUCUUAGUUUAGUAUGCAUGUAAUUGCUUACUUUGGUGUGUGGAAAUGUUAUGUGUGUAGUCACUUGUGUAAUUGUAUGCUUAAUUUGGUUAUGCAAUGCUGUCUUUUUAACUAUAUAUGUUGAUGCUCUGUAGAUAGAGCGUAGAUGUUGUGCGGACAAAGAAAAUCACAUCGCACACGGACUAAACAAUGGAACCCGUCGGUGAUGUUUUCAUCAAUCACUCACAAUUGUAUACCAGCAAUUGUUUGCUCACAACACACACGGCUUGUUAGCAGCAAUCGUCUGUGUUGUUAUCGGUCUUCGCACACGUUUCCGAUUACAGACCUGUUUGCCGUGUAUCACACACAUCUUGUUAAGUUGAACCCUUUCUAUUCUCUUGUCUCAACGCAAACAGUUCAUCCGAGUGAACCGCAUGCUGUAUAUCGCACACACCUUGAUCUAGCUGACCGUUUCUUUUGUGUUGCCUAAUCACAAACAGUUCAUCCGAGUGAACCGUAUGCUGUAUAUCACACACACCUUCAUCUGGCUGCCCGUUUCUUUUGUUCCUCCUCAUCGCAAACAGUUAAUUGAACUGAACCGUGUGCCCUGCAUCGCACACGCAACUAAAAUCUGAACCGUGUUUGAUGCAUUCUCCAUCGCAAACGUUUUGCACAUUUUUUGACGUUUUUUUACACCACCGUUUGCGAUUAUUGCAUCGCACACAGUUUCGUCAAAGGGUCUGUGAUCGUAGUGUCGCGUUAGCAGCAUCCUGCAGUAGUGAUCCAUAAAUUUUUAGCAAGCGAAGAUGCAAGCAAAAAGAAGGCACAUGGUAACAAAAGAUCAAAUGGAAGAAGGGCGAAUAAAAAGGAAAAUCUUUUUGUGUUUUUCUGAAAAUCAUUUUAGAAGUGGGGGAGAGGAAAACGAGAGGCAAAUGGCGAAUAAUGUAAUGCAAGAGAUGAGAGUUUUAUAAUGGGUACUUGGUAUGUCUUGACUUGGCAUAGAUCUCCCCGGCAACAGCGCCAGAAAUUCUUCCUUCUAUUUCUUGAGCUUGCAUUGGUUUUUCCCUUGAAGAGGAAAGGGUGAUACAGCAAAGUAGAGAUAAGUAUUUUACUCGGUUUGAGAACCAAGGUAUCAAUCCAGUAGGAGACAACGUACAAAUCACCAAGACCUGCACAAACAAUCAAACAACUUGCACCCAACGCGAUAAAGUGGUUGUCAAUCCCAUCACGGUUACUUGCAAAAGUGAGAUCUGAUAGAGAUAUAUAAACAGUAAAGUAAAUAUUUUUGGUAUUUUUGGUUUAUAGAUCGGAAAGUAAAAGAUUGCAAAAAUAGUAGAUCGGAAACUAAUAUGAUGGAAAAUAGACCCGGGGGCCAUAGGUUUCACUAGAGGCUUCACUCAAGAUAGCAAAUAAUACGGUGGGUGAACAAAUUAUUGCCGAUCAAUUGAUAGAAAAGCGCAAAGUUAUGACGAUAUCUAAGGCAAUGAUCAUGAAUAUAGGCAUCACGUCCGUGUCAAGUAGACCGAAACGAUUCUGCAUCUACUACUAUUACUCCACACAUCGACUGACUCCUGCCUGCAUCUAGAGUAUUAAGUUCAUGAAGAACAGAGUAACGCAUUACGUAAGAUGACAUGAUGUAGAGGAAUAAACUCAAGCAAUAUGAUGUAAAACCCAACUUUUUAUCCUCGAUGGCAACAAUACAAUACGUGCCUUGCUACCCCUACUGUCACUGGGAAAGGACACUGCAAGAUUGAACCCAAAGCUAAGCACUUCUCCCAUUGCAAGAAAAACCAAUCUAGUUGGCCAAACUAAGCCGAUAGUUCGAAGAGAAUUACAAAGAUAUCAAAUCAUGCAGAAAAGAAUUCAGAGAAAAUUCAAUUAAUAUUCAUAGAUAAGCUGAUCGUAAAUCCACAAUUCAUCGGAUCUCAGCAAACACACCACAGAAAAGUAUUACAUCGAAUAGAUCUCCAAGAACAUCGAGGAGAACAUGGUAUUGAUAAUCAAAGAGAGAGAAGAAGCCAUCUAGCUACUAGCUAUGGACCCGUAGGUCUGUGGUAAACUACUCACGCUUCAUCGGAAGGGCAAUAGAGCUGAUGUAGAAGCCAUCCGUGAUCGAAUCCCCCUCCGGCAGGGUGCCGGAAAAGGUCCCUAGAUGGGAUCUCAUGGGUACAGAAGGUUGCGGCGGUGGAAAAGUGUUUCUGUGGAUGCCUCUGAUGGUUUGGGGAUAUUUGGAAAUAUAUAGGUGAAAGAAUUAGGUCAGGAGAGUCACGGGGGCCCACAAGGGUGGGGGCGCGCCCUACCCCCUGGGCGCGCCCUCCGUCCUUGUGGCAGCCUCGUGGCUCCUCCGAAUUCAUCUUCAAGUCUCCUGGUUGUCUUCUGGUCCAAGAAAAAUCAUCGCGAAGGUUUCAUUCCGUUUGGUAUUCCUUUUCAGCGAAACUCAAAAACAAGGAAAAAACAAAAACUGGCACUGGGCUCUAGGUGAAUAGGUUAGUCCCAAAAAUAAUAUAAAAUAGCAUAUUAAUGCAUAUAAAACAUCCAAAACAGAUAAUAUAAUAGCAUGGAACAAUCAAAAAUUAUAGAUACAUUGGAGACGUAUCAUCUCCCUAAUGGAGAUUUGCCAGCUCCUUGACGACCUCAGUCAUGCUGGUGAAGACACUGAUCUGCUCUUCCAUCAGGCUGCCCCACUUCCUCUUCCUAUCGACCAUAGGGACAUGCUCAAAUGGCUUGUCAGGGCCAUCAAGGACUGCCUCUACGUGUGUGGUGCCUGGGAACACCGGCAUGGAAGAACCAAAAGGCUUGCCGGAGCCCAUGGCAUGCUUGCCGGUUGCCAGCCCGAAGGAGAAGAUAUGUUGCAUCUGGUUGUAGUUCUGGAUGGGUGUGUUGAGGAACUCUGCGUCUUUGGAUGGUCGUAAGAAAGAAGCACAAGCGUUAUUAGUUGCGAGUAGGCAAUGUAGUCAAUGUGAAAAACCAGGGGACAGUGAGCUAACUGUGACAUGGCCGGUGUAGUGCUCUGCCUCCAGAAUGAUCGAGCAAGUUUUCUGAUCCCAUGAGGCGCUGCUAAGGUCUCUGAGCUUGGACACUUGGAUCCGUCGAGCUCUCUGAGGGAGUCCUGGAUUAGGGGGUCCUCGGAAAGCCGGACUAUAUCCUUUGGCCGGACUGUUGGACUAUAAAGAUAAAAGAUUGAAGACUUCAUCCGGUGUCCGGAUGGGACUCUCCUUGGCGUGGAAGGCAAGCUUGGCAAUACGGAAAUGUAGAUCUCCUCCCUUGUAACCGACUCUGUGUAACCCUAGCCCCCUCCGGUGUCUAUAUAAACCGGAGGGUUUAGUCCGUAGGACAACAACAAUCAUACCAUAGGCUAGCUUCUAGGGUUUAGUCUCUACGAUCUCGUGGUAGAUCAACUCUUGUAAUACUCAUAUCAUCAAGAUCAAUCAAGCAGGAAGUAGGGUAUUACCUCCAUCGAGAGGGCCCGAACCUGGGUAAACAUUGUGUCCCCCACCUCCUGUUACCAUUCGCCUUAGACGCACAGUUCGGGACCCCCUACCCGAGAUCCACCGGUUUUGACACCGACAUUGGUGCUUUCAUUGGGAGUUCCACUGUGUCGUCACCAUAAGGCUUGAUGGCUCCUUCGAUCAUCGGCAAUGAUGCGAUCUAGGGUGAGGUUUUCCUCCCCAGGCAGAUCUUUGUAUUCGGUGGUUUCGUACUGCGGGCCAAUUCGCUUGGCCAUCUGGAGCAUAUCGAAAGCUACGCCCCUGGCCAUCAGGUCAGAUUUGGAAACUUGAACUAUACUGCCGACAUCCGCGGGGACUUGAUCUUCGACGGAUUCGAGCCCAUGUCAGGUGCGCCGCACAAUCACGACGAGCAUAAUUUAGCUCUGCCGUCGGACAGUGUUCGGAAGAUCACACCUGCAGCCACUCCGGCCCUCAAUCCGAAACAAAUUGCGCCAUCUGAGGACGGGUGGAUGGACCCCGCCUCAGAGGCCGCACACUCGGUGGCGAUAGAGCCGAAUACUAAGUUCACCUCCUAUGAGACCUGUAUUGCCGAACCGUUGGAUUCGUCCCCGGCCCCGGACUCCGAGCCGCCUGCGUCCGUGCCCAUCAAAUCCGAUUGGGCACCGAUCAUGGAGUUUACCUCCGCGGAUAUCUUUCAGCACUCGCCUUUUGGCGACGUAUAAACUCAUUGAAGUCUCUCUCCUUGUCAGGAGACCAUUGGCCGAACUAUGUCCGGCUAGAAUGGGAUGCGGACGACGAAGAAAUUCGCGCCCCACCCACCACCCACUUAGUAGCCACUGUCGACGAUUUAACCGACAUGCUCGACUUCGGCUCCGAAGACAUCGACGGUAUGGACGACGAUGCAGGAGACGAACAAGAACCACCGCCCACAGGGCGCUGGACUGCCACGUCAUCGUAUGACAUAUACAUGGUGGACACCCCCAAAGAAGGGGAUGGCGAUAAGACAACGGAGGAUAAUCCCUCCAAGAAGCAACCCAAGCACCGACGUCAGCGGCGCCGCUCUAAGUCCCUCCAUAGUAAAAGCAGCGAUACCGGCACAAGAGACAAUAACGCUCCGGAUAGGGCCGAAGACGACGAUAAUCCCCUCCAGCCAAACCUCGAGCGGGAGGAUGAACAAGCUAGCCCUCCGGAACACGCAGCAAACGGAGAAUCAGUGGAUGACAAUUACAUGCCUCUCUCCGAAGACGAAGUGAUCCUCGGCGACGAAGAAUUUGUCGUGCCUGAGGAUCCCGUCGAGCAAGAGCGCUUCAAGCGCCGGCUUAUAGCCACAGCAAACAGCCUGAAGAAAAAGCAACAACAGCUUCGAGCUGAUCAAGAUCUGCUAGCGGAUAGAUGGACUGAAGUCCUGGCAGCCGAGGAAUACGAACUCGAGCGCCCAACCAAGAGUUACCCAAAGCGCAGGUUGCUACCUCGACUCGAGGAGGAAGCAUUAAAACCUACAUCACCAGCGUAUGAUGCGGCAGAUCGGCCACCUCGUGGCCGAGACAGAGAGGCAUAUCAGCCCGAAGUUCAGCCCGCACCCCGCCACCACUCAAACAAAAAUACCAAGGCCCGGGGCAACAUGCAGGACCUGCGAGACGUAUUGGAAAAGAAGGCAAAACAUGCAAGAUCGAUCUACGGAUCACGGGGGCGCGCACCAACGCGGGACGAUGACCGUCACGCCGGAUAUACUAAAAGCAAAUCCGGCCGGGCCGAAUAUAGCAGACAAGACUCAUAUGAACUGCAUCGUGAUAUAGCCCGGCACAGAGGCGCCGCACUCCCCCUAUGCUUCACAGAUGAAGUAAUGGAUCACGAAUUCCCAGAAGGGUUUAAACCCGUAAACAUUGAAUCAUAUGAUGGUACUACAGACCCCGCGGUAUGGAUAGAAGACUUCUUCCUCCACAUUCACAUGGCCCGCGGGGAUGACCUACAUGCCAUCAAGUAUCUCCCGCUAAAACUCAAAGGGCCGGCCCGGCAUUGGCUUAAUAGCUUGCCGGCAAACUCCAUCGGUGUUGGGGAACGUAGCAGAAAUUCAAAAUUUUCCUACGUGUCACCAAGAUCAAUCUAGGAGAUGCUAGCAACGAGAGGGGAGGAGUGCAUCUACAUACCCUUGUAGAUCGCGAGCGGAAGCGUUCAAGAGAACGGGGUUGAUGGAAUUGUACUCGUCAUGAUCCAAAUCACCGAUGAUCCUAGCGCCGAACGGACGGCACCUCCGCGUUCAACACACGUACGGAGCAGGGACGUCUCCUCCUUCUUGAUCUAGCAAGGGGGGAGGAGAAGUUGAUGGAGAUCCAGCAGCACGACGGCAUGGUGGUGGAAGUAGCGGGAUCCCGGCAGGGCUUCGCCAAGCGCAAGCGGGGAGGAAGAGGUGUCAUGGGAGGGAGGGAGGCGCCAGGGCUUGGGGUGCUGCUCCCAUGCGCCUCGCCACUAUAUAUAGGGGUGGAGGGGGCUGGUUUCUUGCCCUCCAAGUCCAUUGGGGCGUUGGCAAAGGUGGGGGAAAGAAAUCCCAUCAUUUCCCUUCCCCACCGAUUGUUAUCCCCCUUUUUUAGGGAUCUUGAUCUUAUCCCUUCGGGAUAUGAUCUUAUUCCUUCUAAGGUGGGAUCUUAGUGCGCCUUGACCAGGGGUGUGAGGCCUUGCCCCCACUACCCACGUUCAUGUGGGUCCCCCCAUGCAGGUGGGCCCCACUUCGGAACCUUCUAGAACCUUCCCGGUACCAUACCGAAAAAUCCCGAACAUUUUCCGGUGGCCAAAAUAGGACUUCCCAUAUAUAAAUAUUUACCUCCGGACCAUUCCGGAACUCCUCGUGACGUCCGGGAUCUCAUCCGGGACUCCGAACGACUUUCGGAUUUCCGCAUACUAAUAUCUCUACAACCCUAGCGUCACCGAACCUUAAGUGUGUAGACCCUACGGGUUCGGGAGACAUGCAGACAUGACCGAGAUGACUCUCCGGUCAAUAACCAACAGCGGGAUCUGGAUACCCAUGUUGGCUCCCACAUGUUCCACGGUGAUCUCAUCGGAUGAACCACGAUGUCGAGGAUUCAAUCAAUCCCGUAUACAAUUCCCUUUGUCAAUCGGUACGUUACUUGCCCGAGAUUCGAUCGUCGGUAUCCCAAUACCUUGUUCAAUCUCGUUACCGGCAAGUCACUUUACUCGUUCCGUAACGCAUGAUCCCGUGGCUAACUCCUUAGUCACAUUGAGCUCAUUAUGAUGAUGCAUUACCGAGUGGGCCCAGAGAUACCUCUCCGUCAUACGGAGUGACAAAUCCCAGUCUCGAUUCGUGCCAACCCAACAGACACUUUCGGAGAUACCUGUAGUGCACCUGUAUAGCCACCCAGUUACGUUGUGACGUUUGGUACACCCAAAGCAUUCCUACGGUAUCCGGGAGUUGCACAAUCUCAUGGUCUAAGGAAAUGAUACUUGACAUUAGAAAAGCUCUAGCAAACGAACUACACGAUCUUGUGCUAUGCUUAGGAUUGGGUCUUGUCCAUCACAUCAUUCUCCUAAUGAUGUGAUCCCGUUAUCAAUGACAUCCAAUGUCCAUGGUCAGGAAACCAUAACCAUCUAUUGAUCAACGAGCUAGUCAACUAGAGGCUUACUAGGGACAUGUUGUGGUCUAUGUAUUCACACAUGUAUUACGGUUUCCAGUUAAUACAAUUAUAGCAUGAACAAUAGACAAUUAUCAUGAACAAGGAAAUAUAAUAAUUACCAUUUUAUUAUUGCCUCUAGGGCAUAUUUCCAACAAUCGGAAGCUGGGAGAGCCUGGCAGAUGCAUUCCUAGACAAUUUCUAAGGCACUUAUGUGCGACCGCCGGAUGCUGACGAUUUAAGUCAUAUGACUCAGCAGCCAGGGGAAUCGGCCAGGAAAUUCUGGACCCGGUUCCUAACUAAGAAGAACCAAAUCGUCGACUGUCCGGAUGCAGAAGCCUUAGCGGCAUUUAAGCAUAAUAUCCGCGACGAAUGGCUCGCCCGACACCUCGGCCAAGAGAAGCCAAAAUCAAUGGCAGCCCUCACAACACUGAUGACCCGCUUUUGCACUGGCGAAGAUAGCUAGUUGGCUCGUAGUACCAAUACAGCAAGCAAACCUGGCACAUCAAAGGCCAGGGAUAGCAACGGCGAACCACAACGCAUCAAAUACAAGCGCCGCAAAUAUGGUGAAAACGCCAAAGAUACGGCAGUCAAUGCCGGGUUCAGGGGCUCAAAGUCCGGUUAGAGAAAGGGGCCACUCAAGAAUAAUAAUUCGGGUCCUUCCAGUUUGGACCGCAUACUCGAUCGCCAAUGCCAAAUCCAUGGCACCCCAGGAGUGCCAGCCACCCAUACCAACAGAGAAUGCUGGGACUUCAAACAAGCCAGCAGGGCAGGCGCCAAAGACGGAGAAGGGGGGCCUCAAAGCGAUGAUGGCGACGAAGAGCCCAGAUCACCGAACACAUGAGGGCAAAAGAAAUUCCCCCCGCACAUUCAAUCGGCGAACAUGGUAAAUACCACCCAAAUUACCAACUCGGACCGGAUACGCACCCUUAGGGAUGCCGACUUAACGGAACUAGUCGUCCCACGAUAUAAACUAGGGCCGGUCACCUUCAACCGCAGGGAUCGUCCGGUUAACGCCAAUCAUGGCAAUCCAACCGCACUAGUCCUCGACCCGAUAAUAGACGGGUUCCACCUCACUCGAGUCCUUAUGGACGGAGGCAGCAGUCUAAAUCUGCUUUACCAGGACACAGUGCGCAAGAUGGGCAUCGAUCAUUCGGCGAUCAAACCCACUAAAGCCACUUUCAGAGGCAUUAUACCAGGAGUGGAAGCCAGCUGUACAGGCUCCAUCGCCCUUGAGGUAGUCUUCGGAUCACCAGAAAAUUACCGUACCGAAGAGUUGGUCUUCGAAAUCGUCCCUUUCCGCAGUGAUUAUCAGGCACUGCUCGGACGAACCGUGUUCGCUCGAUUCAACGCGGUGCCACAUUAUGCCUACCGUAAGCUCAAGAUGCCUGGUCCACGCGGCGUCAUCACGGUCAAUGUCAAGGCCAAACCUUCCCCCGGCACAAACAAAUACACCACUGCUUUAGCAGCAGAAGCAACGAGCAGCACCUUGCAGCCGAACCUCGAGUCAACGUCCAGGCUCCCGGACACCGUCAAGGGACUCCGAACUGCUUCGCAGAAGGAUAGCCCGGCUCGUCCAAAGCUUAAUUAAACACUCCGGCGAAGGCCAGGACAGGCCGAACUCAGCGGCUCAACCGCUCUUCGGCACGCAAAUAUUUCUUGCAUUUCCUUCGCAGGUUCACCUUUGCGCCGACUAGGACGGACUAUACGGAGGCAGCGUGAACGCGCAAGGGAAUCCUUAGAUAUUCCCUGCAAUGACCAUCCGGCUAUAUUACGGAUCCGCACUCAGCUUCUUCCCCCCUGGUCUCAGCAGGUUCCGCCAUCAUAUUCCCUUUUUAUCACAUUACUUGUACUCAUACGCAUAGACGUACUAUUAAAUACAACAUGUGGAUUUAUAUCACGUUUACCUGCCGUUAUUUCUUAUUGAAAUUCUUAUGUCAAGUGGCAUCCGUACACAACGAUCUGCCUUAAAAUAUGCCAGGGGCUUCGUUUUACCCAUAAUACGGCAAUAAAGUCCGAACACCUUCAUGGAAGUUCGGCACCCCGAACCUAUAGCAUUAUAUGCAUCAGCUCCGAAUCAUAUCUUGGGUCAAGAGUUGGAUUUGCCCGGCUCCCACGUUUUGGUACCUUACGUUCCGCUAUAUCGGCUAAGGUAGCACUGGGAGAACUACUGCGAUUGUGUCCCGGUUCUUCCGGACGAGCACCUCAGUAGAGAAAGCCCAAAACUGACUGUCAUGAUACGGCGAGAGCUGGUCAGCUGUUCGAGAGGUCACAAAAUCUUUAAGGAUUUCUCCCGCAUAAUGCCAUAACCAAUGCAGCGUGCGAUGGAUCAGUUUUUCCCGAUCAGGUGCUUAUAGAGCCCCUAGUACGGUCUUUCGAACACCAGGGGCUGCGCCUACCAUACUAAAGCUCCUAUGGCUAAGUGAGAGUGAUAAAGCCCUAUAGUCUGAUUGUCUGGUUCAUUGUGCUGAGCGCCUCCUUCGAAGGACCCAAAACUGGGAUAAAGAGUGCUCAGGUUUAUCCCGAACACCCCCGUACUUCUUACGUGGGGCAGAAGCCGACGACUGGCCAACUCUCAGGUUUAACAUAUAAAACGGCCGCACAGGAGGGUAAACUUUUAUAUGACAAGCAACAAAUCAAUGACCUUGUUCAAACAUUACAAAGGACAACAUGAUGUGCAUUCAUGGGAAUAUAAUGUCCUUGGUACAUAGCUCCGCUGUAAGGUAGGAUCCUUUCCGGACACUCUCAUAAUACAAUUCGGGCUUGCGGUGCUCCUUUCCCUCUGGCGGCCCUUCGGUCAUCAGCUUCUCAGCAUCCAUCUUCCCCCAGUGCACCUUUGCGCGGGUGAAGGCCAUUCGCGCACCUUCUAUACAGACCGACCGCUUGAUGACGUCAAGUCGAGGGCAAGCACUUACAAGUCGCUUCACGAGCCCGAAGUAGCUGCUUGGAAUCGGCUCAGCAGGCCAUAGCCGGAUAACCAAAUCUUUCAUGGCUAGUUCUGCCGCCUUAUGCAGUUCGAUCAGCUGUUUCAGUUGAUCGGCAAAAGGCACCAGAUAAUUCGGUGCCAAAUACUGCGACCAGAAGAGCUUAUCUGCGGUGUUCCUUUCUUCGGCUCAGUAGAAUUGGGCGGCAUCUGAUAUGCUGCGGGGUAGCUCGGCAAAUACCCCUGAGAAAUCUGGAUUAAAAAUUAUAAAUAUAGUUUUCCCCUCAAAUACUUGCUUUACAUGGAAAAAGCCUUACCGCCGCGAUCUUCCUCGCCUCUUGGAUCCCCUGCAGGGCGCUUUGGGUUUCCCCCCGGGCAUCGCUCGCGGCCUGAUGCGCCUGGGUGAGUUCGGAUUCCUUCUCCGUUAAACUCUGCUCCAAGGUCUCGCACUUCCUCACAGCCUCUUGCAGCUCCUGCUCAGCUUUAAUAACCCUGGCCUCGUGCUUCUCACGAAGAGCCUGCUCUGUGGCCGCCUUUUCCUCGGCCUCGGCUUUUUUAAGGGCCUCGACUUCGGUCACAAUCCCUAGCACAAAUCAUGAAGCUUAUUUCAUACUGAAAAUUCAUUCGCAAUAAACGCGAGCAAGGCUUGUGCAUACCUUGUUUAUCUCUCGACUGCAUUCUCAAUUGGCCAAGUUCUUCUUUGGCUCGCUCCAGACUUUGAUUCAGUCUGGAGAUCUCCGCAGUACGAGAGGCAGCAGCCGCUACAGGCGCCUGCUUAUAACAGAAGAGAAAUCAAUAUCAUUCAAUGAGUCUUCCUGCGAUCAUAAAUUCGAUCCCCUGUCCGGUUCUUUCUUUCACCGAACAGUGUAUCAGGGGCUACUAUCUAUACUAUGACACUCUUCGAAAACUCAUAAACAUACCUCAAAGCCUCUUAUAAGGCUGGUAAGGCUUCGUUCAGUCCACUCUCAGUUGACUGAAUCUUCUCAAUCACCGCACCCAUAAGGGCACGGUGUUCAUCGACGAUGGAGGCGUUCUUCAACGCCACCAACAAAGCACCCGACACCUCUGGUUGGACAGAGGUCGCCGAUGGAACAGGCACGCACCCUCCAGCUGAGGGAGGCUGCCUGCUUGAUUCUGGAGCCGUAUAGAUCUCCGGAAUCACAUCCGGCUGGGAGCCGAACUCAGGAUGGCCCCCGCCGUCAGCUCCCAUGGGAAUCUUUUCCCCCACGUGUCCGGCUCCUAAGGUUUGACCUCCAGGCGCCGCCUUCACGGUUUUCCCUUUCCUCCUUGGCCAGGGUCCUUCUGGGACGACGCCUCGGUGCUAUGCACCUGUUUGGAGGAAGGGGCCUUUGGGGGCGUCCCGCUCUCCAUAGCAUUUGAGCUCAGCAAGUCCUCUGAUGAGGAUUGUUUGGUACGGGACCUCGCCGGACUACAAAAAAUAUGGCUUAGGUUGAAAUACUAUGCCAUGAUAAGUCCGGACGCCUAAAAAGUACUCGGACUUUAUAUACUUACGAGUUCACCAGGGGCUGGGCCCUGGGAUCCCAUGCCGGGCCGCUGUCGGCGGCGGCAGUGGACUCCUCCGGAAGAGGAGCCUUUCCCCUUUUGGGCAGCUCGGCCUCCAAGUGUACGGAGGCCGUCCUCUUCCUUCUCCCCCCCGCAGGGGAUUCAUCUUCCUCCUCCUCCUCGUCCUCUUCGGAGGCGGAAUGGGCAUCGGAGCCUUCGGAUAUUGUGUCCGAGGUGCCACGGCGACGAAGGCCACCCCGGGUCUUUUUGGCCUCCUUCUCGGCCGUCUUCGUCGGCACCUUGUAAGGCGUCGGGGCCAGCAUCUUCGUCAGAAGUGGGAUGGCCGGUUCUUCGGGCAGCGGGGCCGGACAAUGGAUCCGCUCCGCCUUCUUCGUCCAGCCCUGGGGGAGUUGUAUAAAAUACGUUAAGUGCUUCCUUUGGGUUACGCGGAUAGAAAAGUUUGAUAACUCACCGAACUUGCAGGGCGGGACAGUUGGUACCCGUGGUCCUCGGCGGAGUCCGGCCACGAUUUGCUGGACUUGAAAAGCACCUUCCAGAUGUCCUUGUGCGAAGAGCCAAAGAGCUCUCGCAGGGUUUGGUGCCUGGCCGGAUCAAAUUCCCAUAGAUUGCAAGUCCGAUGCUGACAAGGCAGGAUCCGGCGAACUAGCAUCACCUGGACCACAUUGACAAGUUCAAUGUUCUUGUCUCCCAUAUCUUUAACGCGCGUCUGGAGCACCGAUAGUUCGUCGGACGAGGACCAGUCCAGGCCUUUCUUGACCCAGGAUGUAAGCCGUAGGGGGGCGCCAGAUCGGAACUCGAGAGAGGCGGCCCACUCUGAGCCGCGUGGCUCAGUGAUAUAAAACCACUGUUGUUGCCACUCCUUGGCAGAAUCAUUAAAGGUUCCCGUUGGCCAUAUAACGUUGGGCAUCUUGCUCACCAUGGCGCCCCCGCACUCGGCGUGCUCGCGGCCCACCACCUUGGGCUUCACAUUAAAAAUCUUCAGCCAUAAACCGAAGUGCGGCGAAAUGCGGAGAAAAGCCUCGCACACGACAAUGAAUGUCGAGAUGUUGAGGAAGGAAUUAGGGGACAGAUCGUGAAGAUCGAUCCCAUAAUAAUACAUGAUGCCGCGGACUAACGGGUGGAGGGGAAACCCUAGCCUGCGGACAAAAUGAGGGAGGAAUACGACCCUCUUGUGGGGUUCCGGAGUAGGGACGAUUUGUCCCGCCGUCGGGAGAUGGUGGCUGAUUUUCUUGGCCAGGUACCCAGCCUCCCGAAGCUUUUUGAUAUCCUUCUCUCGAACGGUAGAGGCCAUCCAUUUGCCUCCUGCUCGGAUCCGGACAUCUUCGGAAGGCCUUUUGUGGGCAGAGAAGAUGAACGCUUGGGCGCUGGAGCUUGAGCGGAGGGGAAUGAAUCGGGAAGAGGCGUGGGUGCAAAAGGGAGUCCUUAUCCCCUUAUAAAGGCAGCAGGGAUUCUGCGCCUCCCCACUUGCCUGGUAAAACCUCUUAUUCCCCAAGCGCCGUAAUUAAUGGCGCGGCUAGGUUACCCACACCUGUAUUGAUGAGAAUCCCGUGAUAAGGGGACACGAUCUCUGCUUCGACAAGACGUGCCAAGGAAACCGCCUCGCAAUACAUGCUGUGGCUGGUUGUGAAAAAGGUUCGAAUAAUGACCGGGCCGUGAUGUGAUGUCAUCAGCAGAUUAGAUUUGUGAAAAUAUUAUUCUCUCUACGGUAGUAUGUGGAAUUUCUUUUGCAGAGCCGGACACUAUCCUUGUGUUCAAAAUCUUCUACGGAGUAUUCGGAGGAGGAACCCGCCUUGCAAUGUCGAAGACAAUCUGCGCGCCGGACUCAUCGUCAUUGAAGCCUGGUUCAGGGGCUACUGACGGAGUCCUGGAUUAGGGGGUCCUCGGACAGCCGGACUAUAUCCUUUGGCCGGACUGUUGGACUAUGAAGAUAAAAGAUUGAAGACUUCGUCCCGUGUCCGGAUGGGACUCUCCUUGGCGUGGAAGGCAAGCUUGGCAAUACGGAUAUGUAGAUCUCCUCCCUUGUAACCGACUCUGUGUAACCCUAGCCCCCUCCGGUGUCUAUAUAAACCGGAGGGUUUAGUCCGUAGGACAACAACAAUCAUACCAUAGGCUAGCUUCUAGGGUUUAGCCUCUACGAUCUCGUGGUAGAUCAACUCUUGUAAUACUCAUAUCAUCAAGAUCAAUCAAGCAGGAAGUAGGGUAUUACCUCCAUCGAGAGGGCCCGAACCUGGGUAAACAUUGUGUCCCCCGCCUCCUGUUACCAUCCGCCUUAGACGCACAGUUCGGGACCCCCUACCCGAGAUCCGCCGGUUUUGACACCGACACUCUCCACUUCUUGAGGCGGUUGUACACCUAGGUGGCAGUCACCUCCUGGCCACAGAACUCUAACACCUCCUUGGCAACGGUGCUCAAGUGCACCUCCUUGAAGCCCUUAUCAGUCCUAACCCCAGUAAAGAUGAGCUCACAUCUUGUUCAGCAUGAACGUGGAUAUGAACGGCUGUCACUUCAUGUUGUCGCCCCUACCAUCACUUGUAGAAAACGGGCCUUUACUCUCGGUUCUAGAGGGCCUUUAGAACCGGGACUAAAGGGUGUGGACUAAAGCCCAAAACCUUUAGUCCCGGUUUGUAAAGGAGCUCCACGCGGCCGGUUUCUAGAGCUCCACCUUUAGUCCCGGUUGGCAACCGGGACUAAAGGAAUUUUUUUGAAAUUUGGUUUUUCUGAUUUUUUUUGAGAAAAAAAUUCUAAUUUUUUUUGAAUUUGUUUUUUGAAUUUUUUCCCGAUUUUCAAAUUUCUGAAUUAUUUGACAAUUUAACCUCUAAUCAGCCCUCAUCACUGCUCAAGUAUGUACCACUCAUUCCAAAUCGUCUAACUUCCCGGCUGGUCACCCAUCCUCUCACUACCCCAGCCUAAGCAUGCUUAACUUCCGAGUUCUAUUCUCCCUAGUUUCCAAGUCUGCACUUGCUGUUUUCCUGACAAUAGUAAGCUGUUAAUCCUAUUAACCCUUAGGAGUUGAACUUGAGCAUGAAGCACCGUUUGAGAUUGUAAGAAACAAUAAUUAAUUAGUAACACUAAUAUUUCUUGAAUAAGUAGUUUGACAACAGUUUGACAAAAAAUUCAAAAAAACUUAAAUUUGAGGAUAAACUUUUUUCCUUUCAGAAUUUGAGGAUUCUAAAAAAUUUCAAAAUGGCCUAUUGCCGUCGAAAUCGGAACCGGAUUUUCGUGCUGAACAUUUUGAUAUAUUAUACGUUUUUUUCCGACAUCGUAUGUAAAAGUUAUAGCCGUUUUACUUUUUCAUAACAUUUUUUUGCAAAACAUGUCGAAAUUUAUGCUUUUUAAUUUUCCUGACUAGUAGAUGUAGUAACAUAACUACAUCUCGAANNNNNNNNNNNNNNNNNNNNNNNNNNNNNNNNNNNNNNNNNNNNNNNNNNNNNNNNNNNNNNNNNNNNNNNNNNNNNNNNNNNNNNNNNNNNNNNNNNNNNNNNNNNNNNNNNNNNNNNNNNNNNNNNNNNNNNNNNNNNNNNNNNNNNNNNNNNNNNNNNNNNNNNNNNNNNNNNNNNNNNNNNNNNNNNNNNNNNNNNNNNNNNNNNNNNNNNNNNNNNGGGGGUAGAGUUUGAUGGUGUCCAACAGAAGCAUACUACAACAUGGUGUCCAUACAAUCCUACCGUCGACUACAUCUUCUAGCACCGUCCCAGCCAGAGUCACAACUAAGGUUAACCAAGCUAGAGUCACGUUCUAUUAAAGUGGCAAAAAGAAUUACUUUUAAUAUAGCAAAACUAAUUCUAUCAACUAUUAUUAAAGGCUAAACAACUAUUAAUACAAAACUUUAGCAAAAUUAAUAUUAAUUAAUUAUAAAAAUUUAUCUACUAUUGUCUAACAGAAGCAUACUACAACAUGUUAAAAUCUAUAGAAAGAACUAACUAAAAAUAAUUGAAAACAACAAUUAAAGGACUAAAACAACUAUAUAAGCAAAACAAUAUUGUUUUAAUUAAAAUCAUAAUAUAAAUUAUUCUAAAAAUAACCAAAUAAAUCUUACUGUGACAACAAUCUAACAUGUGACUACGAGCAAAAAGAAUUAAAUUAAAAACUAUUUUUAAACUCAAAUUAUUCACAAUCUAGGGUUUGAAGCAAAUUUGAACAAAUUCACAUUUGAAUCAUUCAAAUUUGAAAACUAAUGGCACAAACAGAAAGUGGACAAAAUUUUGAAUCUGAUGCAAAAAGAAUCACUAAAAAACAUCAAAUAUCCUAAAAGAUAUAAGCAAUUUAAAACAGAAACUAGACACAAAAAACAAAUGAAAAAACAAAUUUCAAAACCCCUUUAGUCCCGGUUCGUGGCUCGAACCGGGACUAAGGGCCUGUUCGGUAGCUCGCCAGCUCCCAGCUUCCACGAAUCCGCGAGGGAAGCUGGCCCGAACGGCCCAGCUCCAGGAAGCUGGCUUCCCAGAUCGAAGCAGCAUCCACGUACAAAAACUUGGAGCCGCAGUUUUGUCGAUCCCAGAAGCUGGAUUCCUAGAGUUGGCGUUAUUUACGAUCAGAUGCCAACGCGAAGUGCCUCACGUACCGGUUCGUUAUGUUUCCCUCCGAUCUGGGCCAAGCCCAUCCUCUCUCCUCCUGUUUCACACCGAUCCUACUUGUUGAGCCGACUGGACUCCAGCCCGCCCAGGCAGGCCGGCCUGCUAGCGCGACGAGAAGCCGAAGUGAUCGAGCCAAACACUUUUCCAUCGAUCCCGAUUCGUGGAAGAAGCUGGCGAUCGAAAACAGAAGCUGGAUUUGAGGAUUUCCUGUAGCCAGGGAGUUGCCGAACAGGCCUUAAAGAUCUAAUCUUUAGUCCCGGUUGGAGCCACGAACAGGGACUAAAGGUCCCAUUUGAACCGGGACUAAUGCUUGCCCAGCGCCCUAGCCGCUCGAACCGGGACUAAUGCUCACAUUAGUCCCGAUUCGUAAUGCAACCGGGACUAAUGUGUAGAUUGAGCUUGGACCAAAGCCCUGUUUUCUACUAGUGCAUCCUUCUUUGCCUUUGUGGCUCCCGUCAGCGCAGCGGCAGUAGGAGCAACAGUUGGAUCAACGAGCACAACUGCCACAAAAGAGAACCACCGACUGAUACCUCGAACACCUCUGAAUCAGGAGGCAUAUGCGACUCGAGGGGGCUGGGAGUCCUCGACAUAGGACACAACGUACUGGCUGUCAGACAUGACAAGUGACUGACUAAGAUCUUGGGUCUGCGUGGUCAUGUACUACAAUCGUAGUAUGCAUUGACAGUAAGCAUAACACCCAAAGUAUUGGACAAUCUAUGAAAGGAGGAUCAUACAUCACAACUAGCUAUGAAUCUAUUGUGUUCAUCACUAUCACACUACUCUAGCAUGCUACAAAUCCACCACCAAUAUAUACCACAACAUCACAAUCUACCAUCUGCUCACAGGUCUGCGCAUGAAUCAACCCUACCACAUGCUUGCACAUAAAACCCUACAACCACAUGCUCUCAGAUCUAGCUACAACGAACAGGGAGAAGAGGGUGAUUGAACUCACAGAGGUCAUGGCUGCAGCUCGAGGGGGAAGCGGUAACGGUCGAAAAGUUGAGGAUAGGGGUCGCCCCCGUCAUGGACCGCCCGCCGGUGAAGGAGCACCGCUUACCUACUUGUCGGUGCCGAUGCGCGUCGGUGGGAAAGCUCGAAAGGGGGGAGAAUGGUGGUGGGACUUUGGGCGGUGAGAGGAGGGGGCUAAAUAGGGGUGACCGAAUCGACGGGAGGUGAGCCGAAAUCCUCCCGCCGAUUUUACGGAGACGCGCGAGAGCUCGCAACAUCUCCAUGGUCGCACGAGCCAGCACGCCUCGUUCCCCUGCCCUGCUUCGGCCGAGCCUGGCUUUCCAGAAACUGUCGAUUCGGGCGUAGCUGUUGGGCCUGUUUAGGAGGUGCUUUAAAUUUCAUGCGAUGCACGCCGAACAGUAUAUGCGGGCUACCAAACAGGCCGGACACUUUCCGCGCGGGCCUGGUUUGACCAAAUGCAGGCAACCAAACACGGCCCAAAUGAACGGACAACGAUAAAAAACCUGAAAAAAGCACCAAUAUUCAAUUUAGGACUUGAAAUCUGAUCGGGUGAUUCUUUUUUUUAUUAAGAGGAACUGAUUGGGGGGUGCUAUUAGUUUUCGUAAACUUCCAACCAUAGGCCUCUUGUGUCCUUUGGUGAGUUGUGCGGGUGAAUGGCACGUGGCAACCUUCUCAUCAAAAAGGAAAAAUUAUAAGGCCAGAUUCGCACCCACAUUAGACUCCAGUCCCCAGUCCGCCGCCCCGUCACCGGAGUUCCGCCCGCCGCCCGCCGCCCGCCGCCCGCCGCGCCCGCAUUUUCCUCACCGCCAGUAUGUAUCCGCCUCCCGGCUUCUUCUGCAGUACGGGCCCUAACGCCGGCUACACCAUGUCCGACACUGAACGCGGUAAAUCCCCUCCGCCCCCAUCCCCAUCGAACCCUAAGCCCAGAUGUGAUUUGCUUGCUCUGUUCUUGUGCAGAUUUUAGUAUGCAGUUAGCUCAUACACCAGUUUUGGGAUAUUUCAAGGGUUCAAUUAGUGCUAGUUCGUCCUGUAAAGGUUCAUGCUCUUUGGGGGCAGUUCAUAGUGGAACCUGUUAUUCAUUAAUUUUCCAAUCUGAAACAGCAGCGGACAUCUUUGGGAGCUGCAUAUUAGCCAUCUAAUUUUCGCAACCUGAAUAGCUUUUGUGAAGUUGUAAUUUUUGGCCUCUUACUAUAUCUUCUUGUGAAUCACAUAUUGUUUCUACACAUUUAUGUUUGUUAAAUGGACAACUGUGUGUGAUUAUUAACCCCUCUAUGUGUACUCCUACCUUGGCAUAGAUAUGGCGGCACUUUUUACAAACUACAAUCGUGUUCUCAAGGCGGCUCGGGACGCCCACCCGCACCCUGACGCUCUGGGACGCCUCGAGCGGGUGCUGCUGGGCGCCGUGCUGCGUUGUCUCUCCGAUGACACGGAUUCGUUCAGAAGGAGGAUGGACGACUUCCUUGUCAAAUUCAGCAACUUCAACAGGAAGAUGGACGACAUCAGCGCGCGCCUCCAGGCCACGCGCAGCCCUAAAGGCCGCCGCCGCGGCAUCUCCCCCGCUGCCCAGCUCGCCGGCCUUUAUGGAAAUGAUCUCUUCCGCGCGCUGAUGGGCGUGCAGCUGCCCGUGGCCACACCUGCGGAGGUCUGCCUGGAGGUCGCCCUCGCUGCACAGCGCCUCAUCGUGCAUGACCAGCUCGACUUUUUCAUCAACCUCUGUGAGAAGACAGUCUUCGGGGCCGACAUUACGACGAUCAGGGAGUACAACAUCAUGGCCUUCAAGGACCACAGGAAAACCUUGGAGAAGUUCGUUCAAGAGCACAUUGACCUCGCCGAAGCCGCUGCCACUUCACGUCCACCUACCGGACAAGCAGAGUAAAAGCUCGAUUGCCAUUAUUAACCUAGCUAGCUGCAAAGACGAAGGAGGGUUGUUGAUGUAUCCUAUUUGGCUUCCUUAUGUAGUUUGCUGCAUCAUCGUUGUCGAGCCAAGAACAACUACUUAUGUAUGCAUUAGUGUAUUACGCUACUUGUCAGCGAUCGAGUCUGUCUUAACUCUUGAGUAGUAGUAAUAGUUGCUAUCAAGCUGUGCCUGUGCGCUUGCUCGCUAUAACUAAUUUUGUACAACGUAAUUUGUUUGGCACCAAGUUCUGUUAGUAAUAAUAUGAAUGUUACUUUUGUCGUUCUGUAUUACAUGCCUUUUAUUUUAAUUCAUGCACCAUGCAUCUAUAUAUUUUGCCCGUCCUUUAGUUUGAUGAAGAUGCAUACAAAUGUUCACAAGCUGACAUGAACAAAUUGACAUUGAUUAACAAAUGUCUUGAGUGUUUGUUUCACAAGUGUUUCAUCUUCCAAGCCUGCAAGCAAGCCUGCUAACCAUGGUUUCAAAUGAAGCUGAAGAUUAUGAUUAACAAACACAUGCCAGAUGGCGUAAUUGUCCUUGAGUAUUUUCAGUCUGCCGACUGCCUAAUGCAAAGUUGUUUGGAUUCAGGGGUGUCCAGUUGUUCAGUAAUGUUUAAACGUUGAUGAUUUCCAUUUUAAGAAUAAAAUCUUCCAUACACUGGUAAGUACUAAUUUAUCUUUUCUUUUGUGAUUUAUGUACUACUUGCUUAUUUCUUAUCCCAAAGUCCCGAUGGCCCUUUAAUAGCUUCUCUCAAAAUUUCAUCAUUCUUUUCCCCCUAAUAACCUGGCUAUGGAACUAUUGGCAUCUAAAUGAACAGUUGCAUCAAAUAUUUAUUCACUGAAUGCAAUGUAUAUCUACGAGAAAAACAACUGCGGCUACUGGCGUUGCUGCUUGAUUGCUUGCAAGAUUAUAGUGCAAUACACAGCAAUUUUCCUUCUCCAUUUCUUAUAUCUACCUAUCUACACUAUCCAGGUAAACUACAGAAAACAGAGGACAAGAACAUGCUCUGCAUGCAUGUUCUUCAGGAGCUACAAACAGCCAAUUUGCUCCAACAGUUAGAAUUGUGCAACCAGUGUAGUGACAAGAAGUCACCAUGGAGCUCAGCAGCGCGUUCUCGACUUCGAAGUGGCAUUUCUCCUGUGCAAGCACAUGACAUACUCCAUCACAAGGCAGUGUGAUCUUGCCAUCGCUUGCGAAGCCCAACGCCUCCUGGGACAUCCUCAGGAGCUCGCUGAAGAUCGUCGUGCUGAGGUACACCAAUGCUACCUCAAAGCGCAUCCCAUUGGCUGUGUACAUGACACAGUGGCCCUUGACUGCUACAGAGAUGCAGCACAUCUCAUCUUCUUUGGCUGUUGUCAGCCUCUUCCUCUUAAAUGCUGCCAUCCUCUGCCACUUCUUUGCAAAUUGAGCAAGUCGCUUGGCGCUGACCAUGGUUGUUUCCGGCUCUUGUUUUUCAGCUGGAAACCAGAGAAGUGAGGUAUGGAUGCUGCAAUGCUUAGUUGGUGGUGUAUGAGCUGAUGGUGUUGAGCAUAGCCGUUCACUGAAUUUUUUUCCGAGAGGAAGGACAUGGUGAGGGUGGAGUGUAGUUGUCAUUACAAAAGAUGAUAAGAGACAUGGUCAUGGCCAUGGGAUCAGCACAUGCAGUGUUGUAGUAUGAUUCAUUUGGAUUAGAUUGUGAUGGGGUCAAAUGUUUGGAACAUGCUGGAUCCAAUAGCAGUGACAUUAAACCAUUGGUUUGCUCUCAUAUCAUUUGUCAGUUUGGCAAGCUGGUGAAGACAAGGCCAUGAUCUAUUCUGUGAUUUGGAUAUGGAUGGAUCGGGUUGAGAUAUUAUCACUGUCAAUGAUCGGUCGCCUCUUAACUUUCGGCCUCAGAUUGGUUGUUGAUCGGUCAGAUGCGUUCGUCUGCCUGAAUCCAUUUGCUCAACAGAUGUCGCUGUUUUUUCAGCUUGUGAUCUGAUCCAUCCAUUUCACUCUUUUUCCCCCAUUUUGACUUCUAAGUCAGAAAGAAAGAAAUACAAACUCUGUUCUGAAAGGUAUAUUUCACUACUUAAUUCUUCACAAAACUGAGAUUUUUAUCUAGGAUUAUUCAAGUGUUUGGUAACUACUAACUAGUUCUCAGUUGCUCAAUCUGCAGGUGUCCAUUAGUUAUUCAGCAGUUUAAUGGAAGUUUUCUUUCAUCUAAUUCUAGGCAGGUAACAUUUGUUAAACUCAUGUGGUAUGCAUACUUGAAUCUAUACCCUCUGUUUUCGUGUUCAAUGAUAGGCAAAGCUCCUAUGUCAUUCUUCAAGGAAAACAUGUGCAGGACUCAUUAGUUUUAUGGUUUCUAAAAUAUGAGCGCAUAUUGGUUGUAGUUUUAAAGUGUAUGCCUUGACUCGGUUUGUUAAAACACAAAUAUAGCUGUGUUACUGAAGCUUUGCCAGUUACGUACUGAGUCUGAGACAAACAGUUGAACACUUAGCCUGAUCAGAAAGCUUGCAAAUUUCAUGAAAUUAGUUUUCCAUUUCCAAUCUACUAGCAUCAUAUUUACAUCUUCUGUUGAGCAAAAAUGGUGCCUAGGAUAAGGAUCCUAGCUACCUGCCAUUCUUCAGAAGCUAACAAACAGCUACAUACUGGCUAAGCCCUAUGCAUGGCGCCGCCACACUGCCGUCAAAACAGCACGGCCUCGCGAUGGAGCUCAGGAACGCCAUCACUACUUCGGCGGAGGCAUCUCUCCGGAGCAAGCGCAUGGCGUACUCCAUGACCACAGCGUCACAGGGCAGCGUGAUCCGGCCAUCGUUGCUGCCUGAGAAUCCAAACUCCUCCUGAGACAUCCUCAGGAGCUCGCUGAAGACUGUCGUGCUGAGGAAUGCCAGUGGCACCUCGAACCGGCUCCCAUCAGCGGUGUAUACCGUGCAGUGUCCCUUCACUGCUACUGGGGUCAUCGGCCGGCACUCCUCGGCUGCUCUUUUUGCCAUUGCAUUCUGGGUGAUCCUCUUCCUCCCCAUGGCCGCCAUUCUCUGCCACUUGUUUGCUAGUUGGGCAAGCCUCUUGGCACUGACCAUGGCUGAUUCUCCUUGUUUCUUGGCUAAUAGUUCAGAGAAACUUUUGUAACAGGUGCUGUAGUGGUUGGUUUGUGGAUGAAGUGAUAAUGAGAUGGUGGUGGUAAGCUGAUAGAUUUAUAGGUGAGAGGGGAGAGAAGCAUCAUGAUGUGCCGUUGUAGCUAUCAAUAUCAUGACAAGUUGGCAAGGGACAGAGACAUGAUGAACUCGGAACAUGCAAUGCUGCAAGAGUGCAGGGGGCGAGCAAUGUGAUCUUGAUUUGAUUCCUCUAGGGACAUGAGUUUGCCACUUGUUGGAAACUAAUUGCUGGCAUACUGACUUGUUUCAAGUAGUGGCCAAGUAUAGACUUACAUGACCUGGAAGUGGGCCCAUUUCCGUGUGUGAUUGCGCAAUGAGAUACCAAUUGAUCUUCUGGGUGGUAAUGAUAUCCUAAAUUCCUAAUAAUAAUUUUAAGUAUAUAGGGCGGCCCUUGAGAUGGAGACAUGCAAUUGUUGAUGCUUCCAGCAAUCUAUUCUUUCUGAACAUCGAGUCGAAAGCUUGUGCUGGUCUAGCACAUGGUCUGUUUGAUUUUGGCUUCGGCAUCUCACAUGGUGACUCCUGCUUCUUGCAUUUCUCGUCUCUUGGACACAUGAACACAUGUACAUCUCGCAUGGUGAUUUCUGCUUCUUGCAUUUUGCCUGUGAAAAAGUGGCAUGUCACAUUUUCAAGCUGGCGCUGAUGUCUCUGAUGUGUGUUGUGUUGACUUGUAGUAUUUGAAAUGCGAUCUUCUCAGUUAAUAUUUAAUUUUCUUGGACAUGACCAUAUGGCCCAGAAAAUAAGAAUGAUUAAUUCCUUUUUUUUGCAAGGGAAAAGGAGUUUUAUUCCAUAUUGAGAGAGUUACAGUCGAGAGGUAAAAGAUCCUCAAUACAUGGUGGUCCUACAUGCAUCCACACAGCCGUGGUACACUCUAUACGACUAUAAUUUGCCAAACGAUCGGCAACUCUGUUUUGAUCCCUGUUCAACUUCUGAGGAAUAAACUCCCUAUGUCUCAUCAACUCCUUAAUUUCAGCCAGAAGAUGACCAUAGGCAGAACGAAGAAGUCCGUUCCCUGAUAGACAUAACAACGCCUCACUUGAGUCAGAUUGAACGAUGACCGGAAGAGUGGAAUGUUGUAUAGCUAGCGCCAUCCCUUGCAUGAUUGCAUGAAUCUCAGCUUCCAUGAUUGCAUGAAUCUCAGCUUCCAGAGAAUCGUUGCAAUUGAAAAUAACGAUAUGUUGCAAAAAUAAGUGAACCGUCAUGUCGUCUAAGAAUCAUUCCUGCCGCCGCCGCGCCAGAUUCCACUGAGAAAGAACCAUCAACUGAUAAAGCAACAUACUCAGUAGACGGAGGAGGCCAAGGUUUAGGACUAGGGGCAGGUCUCACUUCAGGCAAAGCCCAAUCAGCAACCGGCAUUUUACCUUUAAUUAUUUCCUCUGUACUGAACCUUUUAGCAUCUCGAAUAGACUUCAUAUAACUGUCCAAAAAAUCAACCGUAGUUGCCAACGGGGGAACCUCUUUAUCAUGAGUAAGAUCAUUACGUAAUUGUCAAAUACGCCAAAUAAGCAUAAUCAUACAAUCACGCUCUGCAUCGGUACAAUUAAGCAGCACGUUCAGUAACCAUUCUUUGCCACUAUUAAUAAGUAGCUGGUCCUGGGGGAGCAACCAGACCUUCCUCAUGGCCUCCCAGAUUGCACGUGCAUGGCUGCACACAAUCAAAGCAUGGUAGCUAUCCUCAUCAACAAUACCACAAAUUGGGCACGUACUGCGCGUCGCUAGGUGCCUAUAUUGCAUGCACGUAGCAGUAGCAAGUGCUCCUGAAGCCGCUCGGCACGCCGUAUGCUUCAUCCGCAGUGGCACCGAAGAUUGCCAUAUCAGGUUCCAGAUGGGUCGGUUCCCGUCAGGGUUAGCGCUGGACGCCCCUCCGGCGAACUGGUCAUCAUGCACUGUCGUCGCCAAGUGGUACGCACUUCUAACUGAGAACUGACCAUUCUUCUCCGGAUGCCAGGCAAAGAAAUCUUGACGUUGUCUCGAUGAGGUAUGAAUUUUGAGGAUUUCACGUACGUCCAUCGGCCAGAAGAGGUCGUUCAAUCGUUGCACCAUUCAUGCACAAUUCUCAUCAACAAAAUCAGACACCCGAUUGAAUCGACAAUUCCUUUUAGGUGUAGCGGGUCGGAAAUUAUGGCCACGGGGAAUCCAAGGGUCCCUCCAUGUCCGUAUCAAAGAACCAUCUCCAACCCGCCAAAUGAUCCCUUUUUUAACCAGCUUUAGACCAUGUUCAAUACCCUUCCAUACAGUUGAAGGAUUUGCAGUAAAAACUGCAUCCAACAGGUUCUCAUUGGGGUAGUACUUCGCACGUAAUAAGCGAGCACACAAACUGUCUGGAACAUUAAGUAGUCGCCAGGCCUGCUUUGCAAGCAAUGCUUGAUUAAAUGCAUGCAUGUCACGGAAACCCAUACCACCUUUGGACUUUGGGAGUCUCAUUUUAUCCCAACUCAACCAAGCCAUCUUUCUUUUAUAGGUGUCAAGCUUUAACAGCUCGCUAGGUGCUCUCCGACUAUUUUCCAACAAAACAAAAGUUUAUAGAUGGCCAUCUCAAAUUUCAACCAAGAACUGUGGUGGUGUUUCAACUAAAAUGCUCGCGAAUUUGGAAAAACCGUAAAAGGGAAAGCCAAAAAAGGAGAAAGAAAAAUGUGAAAAAGGAAAAGGGAAAUUUAAAAAAGAAAAUAAAAAACGAAAAUUAGAAGAGAAAGGAAAAAAAGAAAAUGAAGAAGAGAAAAACCGAAAGAAAUAACAAGAAAAAAGAGAGGAAAAACCGGUUUGGGAACCAUGCUGAAUAGGAGAACCAUGCGGCUCGUGCGGUCCGUGUCGUGCCAGCACGUUUAACCAGCGGUUUUUUCUUUUCUUUUUCGAGGGCUGUUUAACCAGCGGCUCUGCCUGGGCCUGGGAGGCCAGCACGAGUCUCCAGUCCGCCUACCCCCGCGUCAUCGGAGUGCCGGCCGCCGCCGCUCGUCGCGCCCGCAUUUUGCCUCACCGCCGGUAUGUAUCCGCCUCUCUGCAGUACCCGCCCUAACGGCGACUGCGCCAACUACGCAACUCACCGCCGGACAUCCCCUCCGCCCCCAUCCCCACUGAACCCUAAGCCCAGAUGUGAUUUUCUUGAUCUGUUCUUGUGCAGCUUUCAGGCAAAAAAUUUAGUAUUCCUAGUAUGCAAUCAACUCAAUUUACACCAGUUUUGGGAUAUUUUCAAGGGUUCAGUUAAUGCUGGUUCGUCCUGUAAGGUUCAUGUCUUUGGCCCAGUUCAUAGUGAAACCUGUUAAUCAUUAUUUUCCAAUCUAAAACAGCAGCUGACCAAUUUGGGAGUCGGCUAUUAGCCAUCUACUACCAUCAAUUUUCGCAACCUAAAUAGCUCUUCUCAAGUUUUAACUUUGGCCUCUUACGAGAUAUAUAUAUAUAUUCAUGCCUGAAACUGAAAUAACAAUAUGUCUUCUUGUGAAUCAUUGUUUCUGCAUUGAUGUUUGUUAAAUGGAGAACCGUGUGUGAUUGUUAACCCCUCUAUAUGACUAUAUCCAAUCCUACCUUUGCAGCAAGACUGAGUGAGGGUGAUCGCUCAUGUCAACAGUGUGGCCGGCCAUUGACAUGGAGGUGAUAGAGGCGAUUAUUGCGAGAGCGAAACCUCUUCUGAAGGUGUCCAUGGACUCCCACGCACAGCCCGAUGCUCUGGAACGCAUCAGUCGGUUGCUGGGCGGUGCCGCAGUAAAUUGCAUCUUCGACGCCACCUUUGCCGAUCGGUUCAAAGGGACGUUGGACGACUUGGUUGACAAAUUGGAGCAUGACACUAGGAAGGUGGACAACCUCACUGCUCACCUCCAGGCCAUGCGCCGCCCUAAAGACCACUGCAAAGGCAGCCGCCGCGGUGUCUCCCCUGCUGGCCAGCUCGCAGGCCUCCAUGGAAAUGAUCUCUUCCGCACGCUGAUGACCCUGCAGCUGCCCGCGACCGCACCUGCGGAGUUCUAUCUUGAGGUUGCUCUUGCCGCGCAGAGCCUCAUCGUGCAUGACCAGUUUGACAUUUCCAUGCACGUCUGUGAGAGGAUCGUCUUCGGGGCCAACUCUACGGUGACCAAAGAGUACAACUUCAUGGCCUUCAAGGACCACAGGAAUACCUUGGAGAAGUAUGUUCGUGAGCACAUUGACCUCGCCGCUGCUGCUGCCAAUUCACGUCGCCCCACUGGCCUAGCAAAGUAAAAGCUCGAUUGCCAUAAUUAAGCUAGCUAGCUAGCUGCAGGUAAGAAAAAGGAGGGUCAUAGAUGGAUCCUUAGUUGGCUUCCUUAUGUACUCCCUCCAUCCCAAAAUAUAAGAGCGUUUUUGACACUAGAACACUCUUAUAUUAUGGGACAAGUGCGACUACUUAUGUAUGUAUUAUGCUACUUAUCAGCGAUCAAAUUUGGUAAUAGCUGCUAAACUGCACCCUGUGCACCUGGCCUGCUAUAACUAAUUUCGUACAAUUUAAUUUGUAUGGCACCAAGUUCUGUUAUUAAUAAUCUAAAUGUUACUUUUGUCAUAUUGUAUUACAAAGCUUCUAUUUUAAUUCAUGCACCAUGCAUCUAUAUAUUUUGCCUGCCCUUUAUUUCUGAUGAUGGUGCAGUGAUACAUGCAGAUGUUCACAUGUUGACAUGAACAAAUUGACGUUGAUUGACGAAAGUCUUGAGUGUUUGUUUCACAAGUGUUUGAUCUUCCAAGCCUGCUAACCAUGGUUUCAAAUAGUAUAGGUGACAAUUACGAAUAGCAAACACAUGCCAAAUCUGUGCUGGCACAAUUGUCAUUGAGUAUUUUCAGGCUGCCCACUGCCGUAUGCAAAGUUGUAUAGAUUCAGGGGUGUUCAGUUCUUCAGUAACAUUUAAACUUUGAUGAUUUCUAUUUUAAGAACAAAUCUUCCUUGUACUGUAAGUACUAUUUUCUCUUUUAUUUUGUGAUUUAUAUGCUACUUGAUUAUGCCUUAUCCCAAGUUCCCGAUGGCCCUUUGAAAGUUUAUCUGAAAGGUUCAUCAUUGAAAAUGGCUCCUGUAUGAUUGUAUCACCUGGUCAUGUCACUUAUUCAUUCUAUUUUCCCCUAAUAACCUGGCUUAGAUGAUAGGUGUAUUAAAACUUGUGUAUUUUCCAUUCAGCUUUAUGAAAGCAGUAUUGAUAAAUCGACAUCUAAAUGAACAGGUGCAGCAAUUAUUUAUUCACUGUAUACAAUGAAUAUGUUCCCGGUUGAUUGCUUUCAAGAUUGCAGUGCAUUACUCAACUAUCAAAGUAAACUAUUGAAAACAGAGGACAAGAACAAGCUCUGCAUGCAUGUUCUUCAGGAGCUACAAAUAGCAAGUUUGCUUGUUGGCUCCAACAGUUGGCAUUGUGCAACCAAUGUGGUGACAAGAUGUCACCAUAGAGCUCAGCGACGCGUUCUCGACCUCGGCAGAGGCAUUUCUCCUGAGCAAGCAUAUGACAUACUCCAUCACUUCGGCAACACAAGGCAGUGUGAUCUUGCCAUGGCUUGAGAAGCCAAACUCUUCCUGGGACAUCGUCAGGAACUCACUGAAGGUCGUCGUUCUGAGGUACACCAAUGGUACCUCGAAGCGCCUCCCAUCAGUUGUGUACAUGACAGAGUGGCCCUUGACUUCUACAGAGAUGCAGCACUUCUCAUCUUCUUUGGUUGUUGCUGUCGUCAGCUUAUUCCUCUUAAGUGCAGCCAUCCUCUGCCACUUCUUUGCCAACUGAGCAAGUCACGUGGUGCUGAUCAUGGUUGGUUGAUUACGGGUCUUAUUUUUCAGCUGGAAAUUCAGAAAAGUGAGCUAUGCCUGAUGUAAUGCUUAGUUGGUGGUGUAUGAGCUGAUGGUGUCAAUCAUAGUCGUUUGCUGAAUUUAUAGCCCAGAGGAAAGACAUUGUGGCUGUGAAGUAGUUGUCAUCAGAAAAGAUAACAGGGGAAAAGACCAUGGGAUCAACACAUGCAAUGUUGUAGUAUGAUUAAUUUGGAUUAGAUUGUGCUGGGCCAAAUGUUUGGAGCAUCAAAGCAUAGGUUUGCUCUCAUAUCAUCUGUCAGUGUAGCAAGCUGGUGAGGGAUAAGGCCAUUUUCUGUUCUGUGAUUCAGAUUAUGGAAGGAUUACUUUUAGAUAUCAUCAGUGGCAAUGAUCAUGCUUUUCUCUGAAGGUCUGAACUUGAUGUCUGGUUGAAAAAAAACGUAGGACUAAAUGAUCAGGAAUUCGUUCAUGGUCGUGACUGGUUGCUGCUAAACUUUCAGUCUCAGAUUGGUUGUUGAUCAAUCAGAUGUUGUACCUCUGCCUGAAUCAACUUGCUUGACCAACUUCGUUCUUUCUUCAGUUCAUGGUCUUGUCUGUCAUGACCAGUCUCCAGUCCAGCGUCUCAUGUGGUUUGCAUUUCACUGUUGCUUCCCCCAUUUUCACACAGGUCAGAAAAAAAAAAGGAUACUCUGUUUUGAGAGGUAUAUUUCAUAACUUUAAUUUUCAUAUAAUUGCUAAAUGCGCAGGUGUCCAUUAAUUAUUCAGCUGAGGAUGCAGUUUAAUGGAAGUUUUC
RNAcentral lists this long non-coding RNA (57353 nucleotides) under Triticum aestivum (bread wheat). RNAcentral describes it as "long non-coding RNA (TAES_LNC009114)". The record is from RNAcentral. Lineage: Eukaryota; Viridiplantae; Streptophyta; Magnoliopsida; Poales; Poaceae.